RNAcentral lists this long non-coding RNA (88903 nucleotides) under Ananas comosus (pineapple). RNAcentral's name for it is "long non-coding RNA (ACOM_LNC033029)". The record is from RNAcentral. Lineage: Eukaryota; Viridiplantae; Streptophyta; Magnoliopsida; Poales; Bromeliaceae.
CCAAACAGAAACAACGACCUCAUCGCACUGAAACCUCAAACCAAGUUUACAAGUGUCUCUGUCAAGUUCAUUCAGGCUCUCACAGGCUGUAAUCACUGUCAAAGGGUCAAGCAACCAUAAUAAACAUACUCUUGGCACAAUCUGAUGCAAAAACAGCAAUCUUGGUACACCGUCAACCACAACGGCACCCAACAGUUCGGAACAGUCUAAACACUACUGUAAAAAUACACUCGGUAUCCUAGCACGAGUGUAAAUUCAUUCUACAUUAUUCUAGAUAUCCAUCGCCUACAAACUGCGACGAUACAAACAAAUUACAGCUCCUAAAGCUAAAUCUGGUAGUUUUCAGAAAAUGACAGUGUAGAGGUUAUGGUUUUCUCCUAAGUCAAAUCCAAGUCCAACAUAUAUAAUCAAUCUAGCAUUCUAAGCUCCAAUUCAGAUUUUAUUUAAGAACAAUGCAAAUCUACGAAUCGAGCUAUUAAACAUGAUAUCCAAAAAUUUAAUAAUACAUGCUGUCAACUGAAGUUUAGGAGCAAAUCCGAAAAUUUCGGUAGCUUAACAUCAACCCACCUCAAAAGCGCGUCCAACAACAGUGAGAAGUCGCAAGGAAAGGAAAUCCCGCACUCGCCCGACCUCCAACGACGCUACUACGAUGAACGCACGCUCGAACGGCUCAUCGGCGCACGUCGACGUUGAUCCGAGCUCCAACCGCGACCACCACCUCGAGCGCGAUCAAAAACCAGAGGGAGAGAGAGAACAGCAAGCCAAAAACCCUUCUUCACGCUCUCUGCAAGUAUAAGAAGGCUGAGCAGGCAUUGGUUUGAACGAUACAUCAAAAGACCAAAAGGUCCCUCACCUACCCUGGAGUACCGGUGUUAGAAAUUAACCGGCACAUCAGAAAAACGCAGCGGAAAAUAAUUUUGCACUUUUAAAAUUUUUCGGAAGCUAAAUACAUAUCACAUAUGAAAACCGAAAACCAAUAAAUCAAAUCAUUGCCGGCGGAUCAUUCUCAUGUUACUAUGCAAAAAUUUAAUCUAAACAAAAACUCUUUAUGUUUAGAUAUCUUACCGUGGACCAGUUAAGGUCUCUUGAUCUACUGUACGGUUGAAACUGAAUAUGACGAACAGAGAUUCCGAUUGGCCGCGCACAUGCCCGGCCUCUACGCGUAUCCACACGGAAUUGAUCCAGAUCCAACGCCUUCCGUCGCACGGAAUAGAUGAGUCGCAGAUUACAAAGACAGUGCUAGCAGUCUUCUCUUAUCCACGUUCCCUUUUAGUAAAAUAUUUGACGAAAGGUUGAGAGAGAAUAAUGUGAAUCUCUUCACAUUAAUUUUCAUGUGUUGCCUACUAAUGAAACCGCGUCUUUUUAUGUACAGCUCCAAUUAAUUGAGCCGUACGGAUCGGCACUCCUCAACAUUCUGUUGUAACUAAUUGGAUCAUAUCCAAUUAGUUGCAUACAUUCUGUUGUAAUUAAUUUGGAUCAUAUCCAAUUAGUUGCGAUAUAGGAUAAGUAAAAGUAAAUUUAUGCUCAUCCUUUAUGGAUAUUUUAUCAUUAUCUCUCUCUUUAAUUUAAUUAGAUCUUAUCUAUUAAAUUAUAAUUAAAUAUUCAUAUUUAAAUCUAAUCUAAUUAGAAUAUUAUCUCAUAAUAAUCUAUGAAUAUUUAAUUAUUUUCUAAUCUAAUUAGAGAUUAAACCUUUCGUAACAUUCAAAUUCAAAUUACUAUUUCCACUAAACUGUUUAGUGUAUUAUACUCAUAUUGUCAUGCAUGUUGGAUGCAUACAAUUACUAUUGUGUAUGACCGCAUAGGUUCAUUGUCAUUCGGCAGUGAGGUCCAAUAUCAAACCCUUCAAUAUUGAAUUAGAACUCUUUUAAUCUGUAAAAUAAUUUAUUUAAAUUAUUUUUUACUUCUCUCACUGUCCGCGAGUGACACCUAGCAGUAUAUCACGGCAAUCCAGAACGAUGAUGAAAAACGAACCUUUCCGCUAACCGUUACCGUGUGAUUAAUUCCUUCCAACACACAACGCCCCGAUCGAACUAAGAUUAUGGUUACUCGCCAAAUCUUAUUAUUCGAUCAUAUGAUUAGAAUAUCUAAAAUCAACUCAAUAUGGUAACACAGUUAGAAACUCUUUCCACAUACCAUGUACCCUGGCCAGGGGUUUUCCGAGUCGAGUCCGAUAAACUACAUAGGACAUUCUCCCUCAUCAUUGAGAGUGUUGGAUUCCUUAUUGUGCAUUCACAUACCUCAUCGCAUAAAUCACUAUAGUCAAUCAGUACCGAACAUAGACCCGUGUCUAGAGUCUAAGUAUUAGUACUGUCAAACGGUAGCAAUCUAUACGUGAAGCAGUACUGUCAAACGGUAGCAAUCUAUACGUGAAGCAACUAUGAUGCCUUAGGUCCGAGGAAUACUUCACACAACUGUAGCAAUGAACUUAUCACUGGCCAGCAUAGAACCAUAUGACUGUUCAACUAAAUAGUCACGCUCAGUGUACUUGUUCUCUAACAAGCACCUGUAUGCUUGUUCUAGUGUCCCUACACUAGUGACUUGAGAUUCGUCACCUCAAUUAGAAACAUAGCAUACACCGGCCUAUCCGGAAUAUCACCGUCCCUGUAAUAUUCCUCUGGCUAGGAGCAUUUAAAGAGUCUGGUACAGAGAAGUACAUAUCUCAAAUUCCUAACUCUUAAGAAUAUGUUUUUUCAAACAAAGACCCUAUGGACGAUUCAUGUCAAUGUUGUACUGCUAUAUAAUAGAUACGAAUAGAUUAUCUGCCCUUAUAUUAUGAAUUAUAAAUGAUUAAUACAUAAAUACCCUUAAACUAGUGUCACCAGAUUGGCUUUUGGGCAUAUAACUAACAACCGGUACCAGGCCGAUGCCGUAUCGGUACUCCACAUCAGAAGUUGCAACCCGAGAGCAGUAGUGCGCAGAAUAUGCUGGAGUACCGGUAUGCCCCUGUGUGGUACCGGUAUGCAAUGCUGAAAACCUGCAAUUUGCAGAUUUCAAAUGCUAAAAUCCUGCUCUCACGUCGCAACGAGUUCGUUUUGCGUCUCUUUCGCGCUAAAACGACUCGGACUUGUCCCGACACUCUCCAGAUGUGUCGACAAGCCUCAGAUGCCGAAAUCUCACGGCUGCAGAAAGCCAACAUAUUUAUAUGUGUAUACUAGUAUAUAUUACUAUCCGAAUACUAUUCGAAUACGUAGAAAUAUUCGAUCCUAUUCGAAUCCACUAUUAGCAUAUAUGGAAAUUAAAAGUUAGCAUUAAACAUAUAUUCGCACUCGAAUUCUCUUUGGAAAAAAGAUAUGGAUGUGAAUAUGAUUUCGUCAAAUAUCUAACCGUAUUCGACCGUUUUCAUUCCUAUGCGCAUGACAUUUAGUUCUAAAACUUUAAUUUAUUGUAGUAACUAAAUCGAACUUUAUAAAUUAUCAUAGCUAAUUUUUACAACUCAAAUUAUUCGACUAAACAUUGAUGUCGCUUAUAUAGAAAUGAUGUGAUAGUAUUGUGAAGAUGUCACAUCACUUUUUACAUCAGUAAUUACGUAAACAUUUAGUCAACGUCUAAAUUGGAUUAUGAGAUUCCAUGCAUUGCAAUAAUUUAGAAAUUUCGAGCCAAAUCUAUUUCUCUACAUUAAAGGAGAGUUUGGGGGGACCUUGCACUACAACAGAAUUAGGUUAUAGCGACAUAUCUUUGGGAUACUUUUGUCUAAGUGUUCCAUUUAUGCAAAAAUUUUAAAAAACAUCUACUAAUGUUUAAAUAUAAAGCCGAAUCCAACAAAAAAUAAAAGGUUACUCUACUCAACCCACCCAACCCAGCCCAUUUAGCCCGAUUAUAAACAGAAAAGAAAAAACAAAGAAAAAUAAAUUACCAUCUCCCCUUCUCCUCUUACUUAUUCCACUGAAAUCCUAAACGAAGGGCCCUUCCCUCUCGUCCUCCUCCGCCACCGCAGCCAACAAGGUAGAGUUCCGGCGGUUGCUAGAUGCUUAAAUAAGUGUUGCUAAAUUAGCAACACUCUUUUUAGAUUAUAGCGACACUCUUUAACUGUCACUAUAUACCUAGCGACCCUACAUAUAGCAACACUUUUGAAAAGUGUCGGUAAUUUAGCCAGCAGCACUUUUUUUGACCUGUACCGACAUUUAACAGUGUCGCUAUAGACCGUUUUUGUUGUAGUGUUGGGGUGACACGUCUCCCCCCAAACCCCCUCUCUCUCUCUCUCUCUCUCUCUCUCUCUCUCUCUCUCUAUAUAUAUAUAUAUAUCAAAAUUUAAAAUUUUGAUACUUUCAAAUUUUAAAAUUUUAAAUUUUAAAUUUAAUUUAUAAUAUUUAUUUUCAAAUUUUAAACUUCAAAAUUUAAAAUUUUAAAUCUCUAAACUCUAUGAAAUUAAUUAAUUAAAUUUAUUAAUAACUCAUUGUAUAUAAUAUAAUUAAUUAAUAUUAUUAAUAAUACACGUAAUAAAUUUUAGAAAUAUAGUGCGCGUGUGCAUAUAUAUAAAAUUAAUUUUAUUAAACAAAUUCUUCUAUUAUUUUAUUUCCCUUCUAUUUAUUAUUUUUUAAAAUUAUUUUGAUAUAUUUAUCUCAAAUCUUUUUUCACAUAAAUCUUUAUAAAAUAAGUUCACUACAAAAAAAAAUUAAUAUAAAGACGCUUUUUAGACGACUCUUAGGGGAAGCGUCUCCAAGCAUUUUUACAAUAUAGAAAAUACCAACGCUUCAAAAAACGUCGUCAUAUGAUAUCAAACAAUUUAUUAAAUGAUGAUAAAUUUUACAACUAUUUUUAAUUUUCCGACGCUUAAAGCGUCGGGAUUUUAAAAAUUCUGACACUUUAAAGCAUCAGAAUAUAUUUUACUGACGCUUAGUAUAAGCGUUGAUAUAUGCACGGCGACUCUUCAUUUGCCGACACUUUGACCGACGCUUUCAAAAAUGACGUUGGAAUAUAUUGGGACGCUUUUAAGCAUUGUAAAAUAUAAAAAAGAGCAUCCUUAAAUGUAACAUUUUUUGUAGUGGUUGUCGUUUCAAUAAAUUUUAUUUAAAUAAAAUUAACUAUUAAAUUAUUUUUAUAUAACUUUUAUUUAAUUAAUAAUUAGACUUAUAAAAUUAUUUUAAAAUAUAAAAAACUAAAAUUUAUUAAAAAAAAAAUUUAUAUCCAGCAUCGCGCGGGUAUUUCACUAGUAUUAUAAUAAAGUAAAGUUUGAGAACCAUAAUGUUAUAGAAUUCAUAGUCCGAGGACCAAAAGUGUAAUUUAGCUUCAUUAACUAAGAUGUUCUACCAAGUCCUUAAUUAGUGAUUCAACAACACAAUCUUUCCCCUCCUCACGCGAAUAAUUACUAGCUGUACUUGUUUUCAACGAUUUUAAAGCAUGCAUGUUAUUUUUUAAUUAUUGAACAAUUAAUGAUGCAUGGAUGUAACCAUUCCCCACAGUAGAGAAGACACUAAUGCAAGGAAAAUUUCUUAUUUUAUAUAUAUUUUUUGGGUGGAAUUCUAUAGAGGUGAACUAAAAUUGGGUCCAUUUUGGAAAUGCCUAUUCAAAUUUUGAAAAUUUUAAUUUUACUUUCUGAGCUUUCAAAUAGGUUGAUUUGUGUUCUUAAAAAUAAUUACGUGUCCGGUGCAUCCAAAUAUCUGUACAUCAUAUUUUAUUUUUUUUAACGAAAAAAAAAUGCACAACUUAAUUAUUGAAUGGCAGAGAAAAUAAAUGACAAAUAAAAGUGCCGUGUGCGCAUGUGUGCAAAUCCAUCACCUUCAUGCAAUAGUUUUUCAGCACUAUAUAGUACUAUAAUUAAACAAAAUAAAAUGCUAGAUAGUAAAAUCAAAAUUUUUAAAUAUCUGGUAGUUAUUUCUAAAUGAUCUAAAGUUGAAGUUACUUUGCAUGCAUUUUUUACCUUUCUGUUUUUUUUUUUUGCCAAUUUGUUAUUAAUAUUUUUUUUGCGGUCCUAUUUUUCUCAAUUUUGGUACCAAUAUAUGUAUGGGUCUAAGUCUCAAUAUUGAUAUAUUUUACAAGACAAAAAUGAAGAAUUAUUCUGCAAGCACGGAAGACUAACGGUGGAAACUCGAUAGCACUAAGGAUUUAGUGCUAUCGAUAGUAUCCACUACAACAAAUAGAGCUUCUUCCGACAGUUUUUUUACCAGCAAUUAGGCUAACUGCCGCUAAAAGUAUAUUAUACCAGCGCUUUUUAUUUUUAUUGCAGCAGUUACUAAACCGCUGGUAUAUAUGAUGAUAAUUCUCAAAUUUAUAAAUAAUAUUGGACCCUAUAUUUUAUUAACUUUUUCCAUCAAUUGGGCCAUGGGCCAACCUUGGGCAAUAAACACUUUCCACAUUAGCUCUCCUUAUAUUUCAAAUAACCUCUCUCUCUCUCUCUAUCUCUCUCUCUCUCUCUCUCUCUCUCUCUCUCUCCAUCUCCACGCACCGUGAGCUUCGAGCUCGAUCGAUCUCCAUCUCUCUCUCUCUCUCUCUCUCUCUCUCUCUCUCUCCAUCAUCUAUCCGAUCAGAUCCGAUCCAAACCCUAAUCUCCACCCCCUCUAAUCCCUCCGAUCUGAUCGAAUCCAAGCCCUAAUUCUCAGAUCCCAUCCAUGGCGUCCCUCUCCUCCCCUCUGCCGCUCCCCUCCGCGGCGGCGGCGCUCCGCCGCGCUCGCCGCCCCGCCCCGAUCGCCGCGGCGAAUCCGUUGCAGUCGCCGUAGCCCUCGCCAGAGCCGAGGAGGCGAUCUCCGUAGUGGGCGCCGCUGUUUCAGCCGAUCGUCGGCGACGUGGCCGGAGGAGGCGGCGGUGCUGCGGCGGCGGCGGAGGAGGUGGCGGCGGAGAGGGAGAGGGAGAGGUUGACGGCGGAGAAGGCGAGGGUUCUGAGGGUUCUGAGGAGGGAGACGAGGGCGACGGAGGGGUGGCACGACGCCAUGUAUCACUCCACCAUCGCCUCACCCGACGAUCUCGAGGUUUAAAACGACGAUCCUGAAUAUACUCGGUAUGCCCUAUAUAUGUAACCCACCGCCCUUGUUUUCAUGUUUCUAAUGUAGAAGAAACCUGUGUAUGAUAUAUAUAUAUAUAUAUAUAUAUAUAUAUAUAUAUAUAUAUACUGGUGAAAUUUGUUAGAUAGACGUUCGGUUCUAUAUUUCUAUGCCCUUUUUGAUGUCCUGUAAAAAAAAGAAAAAAAGUUGAAGGGGUGAGGGCUUGUUGGGGAUAAUAGGAGAAAUGGCCUAGAGAAUAAAAGGCAACGACAAUGGUUUCAUCUCCCACAUACAAUUUUGAAUUAUAUAUAAUAAGGUAAAGAGAUCAUACAAGCUUUAGUGUCACACUUCACGAGUUCUGUUUCUAAUGCUGCUUUUUUAUAUAUAUAUAUAUUUUAGGGGAUAAAAAAAAAAUUUUCUAUGCAUAAGAAAGCCAGAUGGGUUCAAAGAGGGAGGGAAGGAAAUAGUCUUUUUCUAUGCAUAAAAAAUCUCUUCUGAUUCUAGCCUCCUUUCUAGUCCUUUUAAGCAGCUGCACUGUUGUUAUAAUAGUACUCACUGCUUGAGCUUCUUUCUCCAGACUUCUGUUAUAAUAAUUCAUGUUGUAGAUACAUAUUUAGACAUAGCUAAGCUAAUUAGGUGCACUUUUUUUUCUUUUUCUUUUUUUUUCGCUUGCUUCUGUUUCUAACUUCUGAAACUUUACUAAUAGCUACGAGAAAAUUUUGCUGCUAUGUUUGUGAUUCUAAGCGUCUUUGUUAACCCAUGUGUGAGUAUCAGACUCUCUUCUUUUCUGCUUCCUCUGUUGAGUUAUAUGGAGUGAAAAGAAUAAAGUUUUUAACACUUUCUUCAGAUAAGAAGCAUUGUGUCCAAGAAGGUUGGAUCAACUGAGCAGGUAAUGCAUUCAAAAUUGGCGCUAUGCUUUCUUAUCAUAGAUCUGCUGCUGAAAAUGUUCGAUAAUUGUGGACUAGACAAAAUGACGUACAAAUUUGUAACAUUGUUAGCUAAGUUUCUAUAUUCUAGAAUUGGUUGCACAAUUAGGGUUAAAUGAAUUAGGCUUUCUUUAAUUUUCCUUUUGUGCGUACUCAAAAAGUUGUUAGAACUAGUGUAAAAUCUCCACUUAUUGCAUGCAUCUAUUAAGCUUUCUUACCAAAUCUGAAAAUAAAGAUGCUUCACUUCUAUACAUAUAAUGUUACUUCUUUCUAACUGCAACACACUUUUAUUAGGGAAUGGCCCAAGGGUGUAUAACUGGUAUAAGUUCAUUUGCCAGCAUUAUUGCCCCUCUUGUCUUUACUCCUCUAACAGGUAGAUACUGGUUAUGCUACAACAGUGUAAUGAUCUUUGAAUUUACAAAAUGCAUACAAGCCUCUGUUGCACCCUCUCCAUGCAUGUUCGAUAUAUCAUGAUGAGAAAUUUAAGGAAUUUUGUUAUAUGUUAUGUAUAAUAUGUCAUUGUUUCGUGGAAACUAAAUAACAUGUUUUGCAAUUUUGCACCUUGUAAACUCACCGAAAUUAAAAUUUGAUCUGAUAAAUUAAUCAGUAUCUUCUUGAUAAGAAAACUUCAUAUUCUAAUUGAGUCCCACUAUGGAUCUAAAUCAUUUAAGAUCCAUACGAAGUAUCACCCAUUUUCCUUGAUUUGAAUCAAAUAAUUCUAAUUAAAGCUCUACUACAUGUGGUUACACCUCAAAAUUUUAGUUGUUCUUAAUUCUCUUGUUCUAGUGAAAAAUUUUAGUUCUAUAAUUAACAAAUUUCCUUUAGUUCUAUAAUUAACAAAUUUUCUCUAGUCCAAGAUUUUCGAGAUUUUUAUGAUACUUUUAUUUGGAGAAUAUUGAUGACACAUGAAAGGGAUUGAAUCCAUGAUCCCCUCAUAGAGGAGAGAGAGUUGGUAGUACCAGCCACUUGGUUAAGCCUUGGUCAAGGAUUGAAAUAUUCUGUUUGAGAUCUUGUUUAGUGAAAGUACAUACUCUGCCAAUUAAUUAACCUCUUUCAAUUGUACAUUUCUAGCUACAAUUUUCUUAUAUUUCUUCUAUUCCUCUUUGUUUCGGUUUCCGUAGCUUUUAUGUUAUAGGAGAUCCUCUAUUGUCUCAUUUUACGCUUCUUGCACAACUUAAUACAUUCCAAUCUUGCAUGCACAAGCUAUAUAUAUUGCUCCUAAACUUGGCUUUUUAUGAUCUUCUGCCACAUGCAAUAUUCUUCCAAUUCUGAACUUCUUGUUAACAUAUCAAAUCAAGGAUUUCACUUGUGCUAUAUGUGCUCAAUCCCUUAAAAUUCAUGAAUAGCAGGAACCAUCACUGUGUUCAUUAAUGGGAUUGCUUCGGAAGUUCCGAGGGGUCCUAUAGACUAACUGUCUUAUUUGAAUGUGGGAAAUUGAAUUGUUGUUUUACAAUUGUUUGCAGCUAUCAAAGAUCAGUUUUUGAUAAUCAGAAUCAUAGCUCGAUUGUGUCUACAAGGCAUUAUAGGGCAUGUAAAAUCCGGGCUGUUGCUACUUGAGUGCGCAUGAGCGUGAGAGUGGAAUUGAGGUGAAUCCGUUUUGGCGCAAAAUUGAUGCGAAAACGGAUGUUUUGGGCUACUAAUCUUGCAAUUGACAAUUGCAUUGGGUUAAGUUGCAAGAUGGCCUUCUUAGUGGAUUUCCACUAACAGAGAGAAAGAGAAGAGAUUUUUUCUAUUCUCUUCUUAUCCUCUUUCUCUCUCUCCCUCUCUCUCAGAUUUCAUCAAAAAAAGAGAGCAAGUAAAAGAAAAAGAGAGAAUAAGAAGAAGAAGGAGAAGAAGAAGAACUUGGAAAUGAGGGUGAAUUCUCUUAUUUCUCCUUUCCUUCCCUUUCUUUUCCUUCUUCCCUCUUUUCUACUCUUCUCCUUUCUCUUCCCUUCUCUUCCUUCCUUCUCUAUUCCCCUCCCCUGCUGCUGCUACUGCAGGAAAUUCCUGCAGCAGGCAGCAGCAGCAGCAUGCAGCUUGCAACAGCAGCACCUGCUGCAGGGACAGCAGAUUAUAAAAAAAAAGAAGGGAAAAGAGAAAUAGAGGGAAAAGAGAAGAAAAGAAAAGAGAGUAAAACAAGAGAGAGUGAAAGGGAAUGAUUGAAGUGGAAAGGAUUGGAAUAAUUAGCCAAAUUCGCGAUUCUGAUGUCAAAUUGACACUUACAGGGUGUUCCGGAGUGUACAUUUAAGUGCCCCACACAUCUCGUUAGUCGCAAUUUAAGUUAAUUAACUUUCAAUUUGUGUAAAUUGAGUCUGGAUUGAAAAUUAGCCUUUUGAUUGCAUUUCCGGAUGUUUUGACUUGUUUAGUGAUUCCGGGAAAAGACUCAGCUUUGUCGGAGAGCUUUGUGGUGGCAAUGCAUUAAGGAGCACAAUUGUUGUGGGAAAUGAGAUGAAACGGCAAAGAGCCCACAAUACAAUGUUUCAUGUGCCCUGGAGAUGUGAACGGGUAUUUACUAAACUUGUUUUUGCCUAAACUUCAGCAGUUAGAUAGUCGUUGUAAAUAGUUAUAAUUCAAUGUGGCACUUUUAACUAUUUGUGAUUUGGGUUAUCUAGUGCAUGUUUCUUGCUAAACAAGAUUUUUUUCAGCUUGGUCUGUCAUAUGUAGAGAUCAUCUUAAUUUGUAAAUUCCUUAUUACACUGUGAUGCUAAUCAGGUAUUUGUAUUUUGGUCUGCGGAGUAGAGGUGAUACAACUCACUAUGAUGCUGUUGCGAAUUCAGCAGCAUCUGGAGUACUCUCUGCUGGAUUAGCUUCAGGUUUGCUACUACUGACUUUCAAACCAUUUCACCAUACAUGUUAAAAUGAUAUUAUUGGGAUAUAAGAUUGCUUGUAAACUCCUUAUUGACGGAAUGUAUAGUAAACACUAUCUUUUCUUCCUCAGACUGAAGUUGUUGAAGUUUAAUACUAGUAAAUUUCGCCAUAUAUUAAAAUGCAGAUCAGCUGUAUGAGUACCCUAAUGGUUGAUUAAUGCUGAAGCUGGCACUAGCAUGACUAAGGCCUCUUGUAGGGGGCUACAGGGCAUUUUAGUAAUUUCAUGUCCAUUUUGGGACUAUAUCCUCCAAUACCAUAAUAACAUUGUUGAGUUUAUUUGGGGAAGUUUCAUAAGGUACCCAUGAUCAGUAGCAUGCUAUUUUAGCAUGGAGGUGGAAGUGGAUAACUAGUUUUAGCUCUACCCCAAGCUAAGUGCUUUAUGAUAAACCGCUGGUUAUGUCCACAAUAAACAUAUUGCUCUGAUUUAUGUUUACAUUGCCUACCACCAAUUAUACAUGCAUCUUUGAUCAAAUAAUUAUGCACAAUAUGCAUUGAAUUAAUUCAUAUGACAGUUAAACUAACAGUCUAAGAUCUAGUUAUUGUCUUUCUAUACUUGGCAACUAAAGCAAUUUGAUAAAAAUAUAAGAGUAUUCCACCUUGAUCCAUAUGACUUAGCCCAGUAUACAGUACUCUUAUAUUUAGAAAACACAAAGUUCUUAGAUACCUACUUGUCAUUACAUUUAAUAUCAUGCAUUUGCCCACAUAUAUUAUUUUUACACUCACAUAUGAUCUCUUCAUGAUUUAUCUCUCUUUCCUUUUGGAUCGAGGUUCCUAUGCAUCUCUAAUAUAUAUGAACUUGCUAACUACAGGAUAGUAAAACUAUUUGUAUUAGCUACGUUGCAGUAUUUAAAAAGGUCUUUUUUCUAUGCCCUGAGAAAUGGUGGUUGGCUUAGGUCUUAAUCAUCUUGGUAGUGGCUGCAUUCCUUCUUUUGACUGUUGAUGGCCCACAUGAAAAGGUAUUUAUCUUUUUCUCAUUUAUUAACUAGAAUCACUCUUAGUUUAAGAAAUACCAUUUAAUUUUUGAAUCUUGUCUAAACCUCUAUGUUGAUCUUGUGUUUAGAUAUAAUCUUCUGAAUUCACUUUUAAUAUAAUGACUUGAUUUUGUCAUAAACGUAUAAUUGAAGAGUACAUUUUAUACUUUUAAUGCAGCAUGCUAGGGAUGAACUUCUAUUCCAUGUUACUAAAUACUUCUCUUUUGCCCUUUUAUUCUUCUAAUUUCUAAAUGAAUGAUACUUUUUUUUUUUUCCAUGCGAUGCAUGCAGCAUGUCCAAGAGCUUCUUAAUUAUGCCAGAUAUGGAUUGUGGUGGGUAUCUCUAGGAGUGGCAUCAUCAAUUGGACUAGGCAAGUGCAAAAAUUGCAUUCUACUUUAAUGAAAUAUUGGAUUGGAUCGUUUAAAGUUUAAAGUACAUAAUUUCCUUAUGUCCACAUAGUUUGCUUAUGUAGUUUUACAUAUUUUUAUGAUAGUACUCCACAAGCCAAAAGAAUUUUGCUAAUAAAUUCCUACUGCUCAAUUUGGUUCAUUCUAAGGUUUCUUGGCAUUCAUUUUGGGCCCUUAUCGUCUAGCUUUUCUAGUUUCCUUGGGGUGGUGGCCAGCCACUGCAAAAGCAGUCAUUUUGGGGCUGGUUUUCAUGCUGCAGUGGAUUCCUCAUCACAAAAAACAGCGGUUUGCAAUAGAAUUUAAGUUGGAUGUUGUGGCGACUCUUAUCAGAAUUUAUCGCUGGCCAAAUUUGACCUUUUUCUUGGAUAUGUUAUUGAAGUCGACCAGAAAUCAGAUAGAUAUCAAAUUUGUGAUUUAUACCGCUGAGUUAACAUUGUCUUCUGCCUUCUUUUCUGGUCUAUUAAAAACCAAACUUUUAUAAUAUUGUGUGUAUAAUAUUGCAUUGAUGGAGGUUUCUAACCGCAUAGUGUUCAUAAAUUGAAUGCACUGAUUUUAGAAAUUUUAGGGAAAAUUUGAAAAAAAACUAUUACGUUGGUCUUUACUAUAUGGUACUUGUGAUAAAUUUUCUAUUGGAAUGAGCUUCUGCAGCUUAUAUGUUUCAAUUUUUCUUAUUCCAGAUUGAAGCAACAAGCGGGAUUUGAUACUCGCAUUUCAAGGAUGUGUAGCAACUGUUUCUUUUUCAGCAACUGUUUCUUUUUCUUAUCUUUCUAACAUUUGGAAUUCAAAUAUAUUUUCUAUUGCGUUGAUUCUAUUAGAACAUAAAAAAUUUUUUGUUGCAUUUUGUCAUUGUUAUAGAUCAUGAUUGUACCAUUUGAUAGUUUUGUUAUAAAUAUUUUUACUGUUUUGUUAUAGAUUUCUCUAUUACAAUUUAAUAAUGUGACUCUCAUAUGUGACUCAUUUUUUUCGGAUAUUAUAGAUUUAUUGGUUUUACAAUUAAUAUCAAAUGAAAAGGAUCUAUUGUAAUUUGUUGAUAUUAGUAUCUUUUUUUCAUUUUAGUCUUAAAUUGCCAACGGUCAAAAACUGUCGGUAUAUAUACUUUGCGCCAGUAUUUUUUUAAUAGUUUUAGCGACAGUUUAAAAAAUGUUGCUAGAGAUUAUCUUCUCCAAUGGUCAAUAAAAGUGCUGGGAAAGGGUAAUACCAGCAAGGAUAUAGUAAUGGUCACUUACACUUUUACCAGCACUUUUAGAACUGCUGGAGCAAGUAUUACCAGCGGUUUUUGUAAUCUUUUCCAGCAGUUUUGGCAGCUGGUACAUACCUAUUUUUUUGUAGUGAUCCCAGCCAAACUCCUCUAUAUGAACUAGACUGGAAUACUAUCAAUAGCACCAAGCUAUUGGUGCUUUUAGCUUUUAGCCCUUGGAUUGAGAAAUGUACGGUUAGGAUGAUGUGGACACCCUAGGGUUGAGUGGACGGUUGGUUGAAUAGUAUAAUCUAACGGGUAAAAAUAAUCAAAAGAGUAAAUCUAACGGUGGAAAACUCGAUAACGUACACCAAGUCCUUGGUGCUAUCAAUAGUAUCCCAACCGAACUAUAUAUAUAUAUAUAUAUAUAUAUAUAUAUAUAUAUAUAUAUAUAUAUAUAAAAUUGAGUUAAUUCCUGUACUUUUAAAAGUACCAAAUUAUUGGUGCUUAUAAGUUUUUGGCCCUUCAAUUAAGGGAUGUGCGGUUAGAAUGAUGUGGGCCUCCUAGGGUUAAGUGGGUGGUUGGUUGAAUAGUAUAAUCUAACGAAUAAAAAUGAUCAAAGGCAUAGAUCUAACGGUAAAAAAUUUACAAGCACCAAGUGCUUGAUGCUUGUACAAGCACCAUAGCCGGACUAUAUAUAUAUAUAUAUAUAUAUAUAUAUAGAGAGAGAGAGAGAGAGAGAGAGAGAGAGAGAUAGGCUCUUACGCUUUUUUCCAAAACACGAAAGUCUCCGUGCUUAUAAGUUGUUUUCGAUAAUGGGACGUACGAUUCAACAAUCAAUUCCGUUAGGAUGGUCUACACUAUUAAAACUAUUUCGAAACCAAAUUUUAUAAUUUUUUAAUUUUGUUUGCUUAGCUAGUAAAAGAGUAGCAUCAAAAUGAACAGCUGAAAAUAAAAAUUUUAUAAAAAACUAAAGAUAAAAGCUCAAAUUUCAAAUCAAAAGUAUUAUUUUUUGCUCUUGAUGUUAAGCAGAAUUUUCUAUCAAAGUUUCAUGUAAUUUGAAUAUUUCUAACGUAGUUCAUAUUUAACGGAGCUGAUUGCCGAAUCGGAUGUCCCAUCAUCGAAAAUAAUUACAAGCACAGAGAUCCUCGUGUUUGUAAUCAUAAUCGAGAGUAUAGAUCUUGUUCUAAAUAGUUUAAAGAAUUUUCUAACCAAAAUUCAAUUGAUUUGGAUAGCUUUACACCAUUAAACGAGAAAACCCCUCAUAUCAACCGUUAAAAUUACUAAUUUUGAAACUCUUUGAUCAUUAGGUAAAUGAAGUCGAAAAGAUUUGAAAUUUAAUUUCUAAAUAGUUCAAGUGAUAUAAAUCAUGUUCAACGGUGUCGAUCGUCGAUUUGAAAGCUCCAUCAUCGAAAACAAACGGGUGGCAACGGAGCCCGUUUGCUACCGAUAGCAUUCCAGCUCAACUCUAUAUAUAUAUAUAUAUAUAUAUANUAUAUAUAUAUAUAUAUAUAUAUAUAUAUAUAUAUAUAUAUAUAAGUAGGCUAUUAAACUACUAAUAGCAUGCACCAAAUCAUUGGUGCUAUUAGAUUUUCGGCCCUUGGAUGAAGGGAUUUGCGAUUAGGAUGAUAGUGAUCCUCUCCAGUUGAGAGGGUGAUUGGUUGAACAGUAUGAUCUAAUAAUAGGUGGAAAUGAUUAAAAUGAUAGAUUUAACGGUAGAGAAUUUGGCAACACCAGGCACUUGGUGCUAUUGAUAGCAUAACAACCAGACUAGUAUCAAUAAUAUAUUCCUCUUGUAAAUAGUCAGUAAUAGUUGUACGUACCAACGCAUAAAAUAAUUCAAAUUUUAGAUUAAUUGAAAUUAUAUGGAUCUUUCAUAAACCAGUUUGCAUAUAAUUAGCACUUGCAAUUCAACUCGUUGUUCGAAAGCCAGCUCAUAUUCAGCUUGAAAUGAGCUCGAGGUUGGUAGUUUCACUUAAUAAACGAGCCAAAUAUGAGUUGAAUUUUUUUGCUUGGAAUCUUAACGAGCCAAACACGAGCUGGGGUAAGUUUGCUCAUGUUGGAUUUUAACCCAUCCAAAAUUUAAAGCAGCCUAUAUUUUGUGAAUUUCUAAAAUUAGAUUAGGAUUCCAAUUUUUUUUAUUUUUCUUUCAAUCUUUCACCCAGCAGAAGCACCGACAAUUUAAUUUAUUAUUUGUGAGCCUACUCGCAUUUAGCCCGUUAAUAAAUAAGCCGAAUACGAGUUAAAUUUUUCAGCUUAAUAUUUUAACAAGCCAGCUUGUGUUCGGCUCGUUUAAUAAAUGAGCGACACGAGUCCACUCCAUCUCGCUCGUGUACAGCUUAUUGACGGCCCUACGUGUAAUCUUGAUCCAUGAAUAUAAAAAUCCUUCUUAUCUCCAUAGUUGAUAUAUUUAUUUCAUAAAAAGGUCAAAUCUAUUAGUGUUUUUUUUAAUUUUCUAACUCCAUAAGGAGCUCUCCAUAAAAUUUUGGUAAAACAAAUUUAUUUUUUUUUUCCAUUAUUAGGUUCCCUUCAACUUAAUUUCCAUCCCUUUAUUUUUCUUUUAUCUUUGUCAAUUAAAUUAAAUAUUUUGUUAAAUCCAAAAAUAAUUCUAUCAAAUUUUACUCUUCACACCAGAUAUUGAACAGCGAAUUUGAAUAGUUAUGUAAGAUCAUUAAAACAAUAAAAAAUAAAACAAAUAUAAAUUAAAAUAAAAAAUAAUUGAGGGAUUUUUAUACAUUUUGACUAAAAUUUUUUGUCCUAAUUGUGCCCCAUUAAAAAUGUUGUUCUCCAACGGUAGGAAAAAUUCGAGAACACCAUGCACUGCAACUAACAAAUUAAUAUAUACGAACGAGUUAUAGCAUUAAUUAACAAAUAUACAAUAUCUUAUACAGCUCCAAUUGCAAGUACAAUAUUCAUUAAAUUCCUCUCUAACUAACCAAAUUAACCAUGGGUUAACUAAUCCUCAUUUUACGAGAUAAUUUCUUAAACUUAAAUUUUUAAAAAAAAAUCUUCAAAAACCAUCACAUUUCAUUAAGAUUAUUGAUUCUGGAGUCAUUCCAUACUAAAAAUAAAUCUUUUAGGUUGCAUGGCAUAAGCGCAUGAGAUUCUAAGUUUGAAUUGCACCAUUUCAUUUAAAUUUGCAUCACAGUUUCAAUAAAAAGUUUCAAGCUAAUACGUAAGUAAAAUUGUUGAACACAAAAAAAAAAUCAUUGUUCUUUAAUGGGUAAAUUACACUCUAUAUAUCAUGGAUUUUUUUAUAAAUUUCACAUAUCUAAUACACCAUGAACGCCCAUUCGAUGCAGAUUCAUACAUUUUUUUUAUUUUACUUUUUUUUUGUGUACAUAAUAUAAAACCAUAAGUAUUUUGGAUUUUUGAUCAAUGCAUAUAAUUUUCUUUCGAAUAGUAUAAAUAAAUUAUGUACGAUGGAGAAUUUUCUUUCUUAAAAUAUAUAAAUUAUCAAUGAGAAUUUAUUAAUUUCAUUCAUAUAAAAAAAAAAUUUCAGCAAAAUUAAUAUUUUAUAUAUAAUAAAUAUAUAUUAUUAUAUUAAUAGUAUUAUAUUUUAUUAGCGGUGUCGUAUCCUACAAUCCAAUUUAGUUGGCUAAAUAUCGACAAAUUGUUAAUGUAAAAGUAUUGUAAUUGACGAUACGCUAAUAAUUUGCCAAUAUUUAGACAACUAGAUUGAGUUGUGAAACUUUAUUAUAACAAUUCAGAAAGUUCUAGCCAGAUAUUACGACAAGCUUAUGUUUGAGGACCAAAGUGUCACGUUCCUCGUAGUUUGACGACCAAAAGAGUAAUUUUCUUUUUUUAAUAACUUUGUUUUUGGAGAAAAAUGGCUAUAUAUUCAAAGCUCAUUCUGUUCCAAAUAAAUUUGUUUGCAAUUUUUUACAUCUACUAUUAAGUGGCAUGACCUCGCAUGAUUCAUAUGAUCUUCUCCACUACGAGCGCGCAUGAUCAAUAUUUUUGAGUUGUUUACUGUCAAACCAAACAGACAUACUUUGCUACUCGAUCGCGUGCUUUUUUCUUUCAAGAAGUAGAUCUUGAAAUUAAAUAGCAAAUAUUCUACCUUGUAUUAGCGCAAUUAAAUAACACAAUAAUAAAAAUGCAACGUUUUUUUGAUUUUAUAGAAUAUUAAAGCGUUGCAUGCAGUUUGAAUCCAAAGUACAAAUAUAUAUCUAGCCAUGGGGCAACUGUUUACAAUUAAGUUUAUUUACUUAUCUAUCUAUUUAUUUAUUUACUCCCCUCCACCCGUUCCCAUGCACGUACGUACGUACGUACGUUACCACCACCACCACCUUUAAUUUCUCUCUCUAUAUAAAGUGCACAAGCUUUCCAAGUUGAGCAUAUCAAAUUAAAACACUUGGAGAAAGGGAGACAUAUAUAGAGACCUAGAGAGAGAGAGAGAGAGAGAGAGAGAUUUACGUAUAUAGAGAGAGAGAGACCUAGAGAGAGAGAGAAAUGGCUUCGAGAAACGGCAACAAUGUUUCCAGCGGAGGACCUAGCCGAGUAGUGUGUGUUACAGGAGCAGGAGGGUUCAUUGGAACAUGGCUUGUGAAAGAACUACUUCUCAGAGGCUACCAUGUUAAUGGAACUGUGAGAAAUCCAGGUCAAAUAUGUGACACAUAAAUAUAUAUUUAAUAGCUAGUAUCUUUUCUCUGCAUCUCUAUGCAUGUUAAUUUUUAAUUCUCGAUCGUUAAGUUUAUUCAUAGUCCUUAAUCCUUAUCAGAUCAAUCUUUGGAGUAAUAUAGUAUUGAUUCAUCUGAUAUUCACCUGCAUGUGAGCAGGGGAUGUUAAAACUAUUCAUACUAAGAGUAAUUAAUGUAAUGUUUCUAUAUAGCUUAAAAACUGUUAUUGCAUAGAGAAGUUGGCUGUUAUCUACAACAAUUAUCCUUAAGGUCAGAAAUUUGAAUCUCUGUGUCCAUAUUUUUCAAGAAAAAUAGAAUUUGAAUCUCCUGUUUCUUGGAAUUUGAUUCUCUGUGUGCAUGUUUCCAAUUUAGGUGUUCAUUUUAAGAAUAUAAUCAUGCUUACACAAUAUUCUUUUAGUUCUCGCUAGGUUGCUUCUCUUUAUCGACAUAUAGUUGUUGCGAAAUACUAAUUACUCUUAGUUCUACUGCAUGAAGAGAGCAACGCACAUCUCAAAGAGUUGGAAGGAGCAGCAGAAAGACUUACCCUCUACAAGGCGGAUAUUCGUGACCAUGAAAACAUUCGUAACGCCUUUCGUGGGUGCGAGGGAGUGUUCCAUGUUGCCGCGCCCGUUAUUGACGACAAGGUCACUCUUCAUAUAUACAUACGUACAUACAUAUAUAUUAUGCAUUAUAUUCGUAUUUGUAUAGAGUUAAACAAAAAUGCUUUCAGAAACAUCACGAUGUGCCGCUUCCUUAUGUGUGUGUGCAUAUAUAUAUAUAUAUAGAGAGAGAGAGAGAGAGAGAGUUUUGCUGCGCUACUAUGGAUUGUAAACGGCUCAGUUUACUAUCAAUUUAUUUUCGAUAAUAAAGCUUCUAAAUCGACGAUUGGCAUUAUUAAACAUAAUUUAGACCAUUUAAACUAUUUAGAAUCAAAUUUCAUUUUUUUUUCACAACUCUAACCAAAUGAUCAAAAUGUCACAAAAUUUAUAUAAUUUUAAUAGCUGUUAAUAGUGUGUUUGUUCAUUUAACAGUAUAAAAGAGUCCAAACUAGAUAAAUUUUUAUUAAAAAAAUUUUAAACUAUCUAAAAUAAGAUUUAGAUUCUAAAUUUUGAAUACAAAAUUUAUAUCAUCACUUUUUGAAAGAUAUUUAUUUUCAGUUGUUCAUUUUUUGUCCACUUAAUGGAUAAGAGAAUAAUUGAAAAAAUAUAACAUUAAAUUUUCAAAUAAUUUAAAUUUGUCUAGAUCAUAUUAAAUGGUGCAAAUUGUCAAUUGGAAUUUCUAUCAUCUAAAACAAAUCGAUAGUAAACCUAGCCGUUUAGUAUAUAUAUUUAUGUAUAUAGUUCGACUAUGGUGCUUCUGAAAGCUCCAUUCAUGUGGUGCUUUAAAUUUUUAACCCUUGGAUCAACCUAUUUGACCAUUUCUUAUCUUUGGAUUAAUGUUAUGUGAUGCCCCAUCGUCCCAGGGGAUCACCCAUUUUAUGACUACUCUAGUACUGGCACGCUUAACUCGCUUAACCUCUUAGACCUAGCCACCGUAUAAAAUACUAUAGCUGGAUUAAGAGUUUCAGUCCUAUUAUAUCUCAUAUAUAUACUAUCUGGGGUCUAAUAUUCUCCCCCUUUCAAGCCCCGAUGUCUUUGUCAAGCUCAGACUUACAAGUAUCAGGUGAUAUGAGACCCGUCUUGUUAAUCUUAACCAACCUUGUGGGAGAGUCGCGUUCUAUCCACAACAGUCAACAAUAUGAGAGCCUAAUUACUUCCCCACUGUAUAAUCCUGGCUCAAUCGAGAUUCAUCUCAUACUUGCGGCUGAUAAUUGUCUUUAAUACCAACUAUGGCGCCCCAACUUCCCAGGGGGUCACCCAUCCGAGGACUAGUUCAGUCCUGGCACACUUAGCUCUCUUAACUUUUUGAGCCUAACCAUUACCCAAAAUACUAUAGCUUGGUUAAGAGUUUUAGUCCUAUUAUACCUCAUAUAUAGGACUAUCUAGGGUCUCACAUAUUAUAUUCCUAGGAGGACCACUAAAUCCUAAGGGGACUUCUAUCAUUAUAACCCUACAACCCUUGAUCGAAGAGCCGAAGCAUCAAUUCCUUUAUGCUUUCAAAAGUAUAAUAACUUUAUAUAUAUAGAACUAGGCUCCUAUAUAUGCUUUCGAAAGUAUGGAGAUCUCCGUGCUUGUAAGUUGUUUUCGAUGAUGGGACAUCCGAUUCGGCAAUCGGUUUCGUUAAAUUUGAUUUACGCUAUUGGAACUAUCUAGAAACCAAAUUUCAUAAUUUUUGACUUUGUUUGUCUAGUGAACGAGUAGCCUCAAAAUGAACGGCCGAAAAUAAAAAUUUCAUAAAAAAUAGUGAUAAAGGACUCAAAUUUUAAAUCGGAAGUAUUGAUCUUGCUAUUAAUGUUAAGUAGAAUUUUCUAUUAAAUUUUAUGUAAUUUGGAUACUUCUACACCGUUGAACUUAAAAACAUGCCACAUCGGCCGUUAAAAUAGUUAUUUUUGAGACCUUUUGAUCGCUUGGUAAAUAAUGUCAAAAAAUUAUAAAAUUUGGUUUCUAAAUAGUUCCAAUAGGGUAGAUUAUACUUAACAGAGCCGAUCGUCGAAUCGGAUGUCCUAUCAUCAAAAACAACUUACAAGCACGGAAGUCUCCGUACUUUUGAAAGUAUAGGAGACGUACUCUCUCUCUCUCUCUCUCUCUCUCUCUCUCUCUCUAUAUAUAUAUAUAUAUAUAUAUAUAUAUAUAUAAUUAAGGUGGCGGGAUUGAUUUGAAAGUUUGAGUUCAAUAUAUAUUAGUGCAGGCUGUGGUGUCCUUAGCUAUUGAAGGCACCAGAAAUAUAAUCAACGCUGCAGCAGAUGUGGGUGCUCGUCGCGUCGUGCUCACAUCUUCGAUUGGAGCCAUCCACAUGAACCCUAAAAGGAGUCCCGACACCGUCGUGGAUGAAAACUGCUGGAGCGAUGUCGACUAUUGCGAGAAAACAAAGGUAUAUAACAUAUCCAAAAGCUUAAGUUAUUAGAGAACAGUAUUUUUAAUAUUUAUAUCCAGUACCCUACAUUUUUGUUUGAUCGAUCAUAUAUAACUGAUCUCCUGUAUGUUGUAUGUCUUGACAUCGGUUGGCGGCAGAACUAUUACAGCAUGAGUAAGACGAUAGAAGAGAUGGCAGCAAUAGUAGAGGCGAAGGCGAGGGGGAUAGAACUCGCGAUAGUGAUACCGGCAAUAACGACCGGCCCGAUGCUGCAACCGAGGUUGAAUUCGGGUUUGAUGCACAUUUUGCGCUACAUAGUUGGCGAGAAAACGAAUUUGCCAAAUGCGGUCACAGGAUAUGUGGACGUCAAAGAUGUUGCACAAGCUCACAUACUAGUCUACGAGAACCCGAAUGCGUCAGGCCGUUACUUUUGCGUCGAGAGGGUCAUCCACCGCGCCGAGCUCGUCGACAUGUUGGACGAGCUUCUUCCUGAGAAAAAUAUCAAAGCGAGGUAAAGAUAAAAUGUUUGAAUAAGAUGAGAACUAUAGUCUUAGUUGUUGAACUUGAUUAACAGUACAAGUUAGGUUAGAAAUAACCCCACACAAUUCCAACCUACCAUUAAUAGAAAUUUCUUACAUUGGAACAGGAGAGUAAUUGCCAUAAAAUAGUUAAUUAAGUGCAUCAUAUAGUUUAAGGAUACUAAAGGUUAUUUGAAGUUUUCUCUUUUAAUUGAUAGUCUCUGACACAAGUGGCAAAGGGUUUGAUUGAUAGUCAAUUGGUACUCGAGGUCUCAAGUUCGAAACCUAAUUUUUUUUUCCAUUUCCAGCUACGUUCAUUUCUUAAAUAAAAAAAAUGUACAAAGCAGGUAGUAUGCUACUUUUCUAUCACUAAAAAAAAGGAUUAAUUUGACCUUCGUGUUGGUCAUUUAUUAUUGGUUGAAAUAGGUUUAACUUUCUGCUCCCUAAUAAUAAGACUAGAAAACAAUAACUUAAGUUGGAUGAGCCUAAUAAAUUGAGCGUGGUUAUGGUCCACAUAGGCCGAACAACAAGAUGCCCAACAGUAGACCUAACAUCUAAGAGGGUUGAAUCAGGUCGAAACCCGUGAGAACUGUGAUUGAACCUUUAUAAGUGUGAUAGAUGCGCCAUUUCAAUCAGCAUGUGCUUUCGGGAUUGUCAAUCAGUGCUUAUGAUUCAUACUUCCACCUUUACAUAAAAUAUCUACCAGUUACAUUCAUAUAAUUGUUGAUUAAUUUGAUUGAUCAAUAGGUAUUCGCCCUUAAACGGUUAUUAUAGGGUUUACUUAAUUUUAACGGGGCUAUUAAUUUUCUCCUCGAUCAACGUAAUCUUCUAUCAAUGGAAUAUAAAUAUGAGAUACUUAGAAAUAUACUCUGAUUCCCUUAUUUGACUCUAGUAAUUAAUGUAUAGUACUGUUUGAUAAAGUGCUAAGUUAUUUUAAAAAAAGCAAGGAAUUAAGUCUCAUAACAUGUUAUAUUAUUGACUUAAUUAAUUACCAUGUGUGCUCCUUAGCACCAACUAAUAACAAUUACAAAUGUUUAGUUAGCAAUUCUCAUACAAUUAAUCAUUUACCAUUCUUUUGUUGAAACUGUUUCAGGAUAAAAAAUAACAUCAAAGAGAAGAUAAAGCCCUACAAAUUCUCAAAUCAAAGGCUUAAGGAUCUGGGACUCGAGUUCACUCCGCUGAAGAAAAGCUUAUACGAAACUGUGAAGAAGUUCGAAGAGAGGGGUUUUCUUUCCCUUCCUAAGGACAUGGAUUUUCAGAAGUUAAUUCGCGCAUCGCUGUAAAUUGCGCUACUAUAUAUGCAUGCUAAAGAAAUUGGUAUCUUCUUAUAAUAGCGAAAUAUGGAAUAAUUAAACAUGCAUGAAAUUUCCUCCUUAAUUCGAUAAUAAGCACUGCUCAUAAGUGUACUUCUCUUGUAGCACUAAUAAAGCAUUUUGGGAAAUAAAGUUUUGAGUAUGAAGGGUUUAUUUAUUUGAUCUCACGGCACAUAGAUGACAUUUUUCUUAAUUUCUCUAUGGAUGUUGUUUAAAUAAUGAGUGUUUAUUAACUAUUUGAGCUUAAUUGUUAACCCGACAUUUUGAAAAUAUUUUAGUUUAUUUGAUGUUAACAUCUACAUUUGUUUUCAUUUGAGUUCUUUUGAAUAAUUUAAAAUGAAGAUUUUAAUUAGCUAUUACUUGGAUAAUUUGACAAUGGAUGCUCUGAUUAAUUUGACAAGGUUAUUAUAGCCUAUUCGAUUGCCUUAUAUAAAAUAGAAAUAAAUUGAAAUUACCAAUUUCAAACUGGCACAUAGUUAAAGGGGCGUCCAUACAAUUUUACCUUAAAAAAGAAUUUAUUAAUUUAGGAAAAAAAAAAACAUAUGUAUUCCUCUAAAAGUUGAGACAUCAAGUACAUGUCUACUAGGGAUGUCAAUGGGUAUGGAUAUGUAAAAUUUUAUCCGAAUCCGAACCCGAAUGGAAUGGAUAUAUCCGAUGGAUAUGGAUAUGGAUUCGGAUAUGGAUAUCAAAAAUAGAAACCCGACGGAUAUGGGUUUAGAUAUUAAUUUUGAUUGUACCCGACCCGAACUCGAACCCGACCCGAAUCCAAAUUUAUUUUGUAUUAUAUAUAAUAUAUAUAUAAAAAUUUGAUGUUAUAUUUGAAUUUGUAUUUUAAAAAUUUAGAUUUAAUAUAAUAUAUUUUGAAAUAUUGAAAAAAAAAAUAAUUAUUUCGGGUUCAAAUUUUCGGGUUCGGGUUUCGGAUUUUUGAUCGGGUUCGGAUUUGGAUAUGGAUUUUUAAAAUCCGUCAGGUUCGGGUUCGGGUUCGGGUCUCGGGUUUGGAGUCGGUUUCGGGUUCGGGUUUUAAAAUCUGCCCCGAAUCCAACCCGUUGACAUCUCUAAUGUCUACAAAUCUAAAAAUCUAAAAUACACCACUCAUAUUAUUGAUAUAGUGUCCCCAACCAAUUAAAUUGUAUUCUUUGGAUACAUUCGUCUAAUCAUGAAUUCAUGAUUAAUAAAAAACUAUUUUCUUUAUAUUUUUCUCUUAAAAAAAUAUAAUUAAUUUGUUACUGAUGAUGUGGUGCAAAUAUGACAUAACAAAUAUUAACCUUGACUGGUUUGGGGAUAAUGCGGGAAUAACAAAAUUUCUUCUUGCUAUUCCGCCAAACAAAAUACUUUUAUCGGAAUAAUAUAUUCUGGUAAAAUAUUACUAUUUUCUGUUAUACCGGGAUAGUUUGGAAUAAAUUAUUUCAUGCUUUGGUGAAAUAGUGAUAUUUAAUUUAAAAAAUUAUAAAGAUUAUAAAUUGAAUUAUAACAUAUUAUGCAGACAUAAUACAUUACAUAUGAUUAUAAUAUAUUAUUAUUUAUAAAAAUUAUUAUUUGUACUAUAUUUAUGCAUAUCAUUUGUAUUUAAAUAUUAGACUAAAUUAUAGAAAAUCUUCCCGUAAAUAUUCGAUUUUUCACUUUUCCUCUGUGACUUUCAACAACCUAUAUUUCAUCUUCUUGAAAUUUCAAAAAUGUUUUAAGAGGGUACAACAUUAAUGGAUAGAAAAAAUAAUCUAAUUAUCCUUACUUACUAAAAAAUAAUUUUUUAUUAUAUAUCUGUCAAUUUGAAGAGUAUUUUUGGUAUAAAUUAUAAGAAAUAAACAGAAUAGUAAUAAAACGCAUUUCUAGUAUAAAUUAUAAGAAAUGGACAGAAUAAUAAUAAAACACUGACGGAAGAGGGCUAAAUACAACAACUUGAAAUAUUAAGAAGAUAAAAUAUAAAUUUUUAAAAAUUACAAAAAAAAAAUAAAAAAAUAUAAGUAUUUAUAAACAGGUUUUCUAUAAUGUAGCCUAAAUAUUAUAAUUAAAAAAAAACUUCAAAUACCAUCUCUGUGUUUUCGCACUUUUGCACUUUUCUGUGGUUUAAAGUGUAUCAAUUUAGUACCCUGUGAUUUCUAUUUUUUUUUAUUAUCAAUUCUACUAAUUUUUUUGUUAAAUGAGUGACAAAGUUAAAACCAAAGAGUACUAAAGUAAAUAUUCGAUAAACCUAAGUGUAGUAUCUGUAGUUUUUUCAUAUAUAUAAUUUAACAAAAUAUUAAUGAGAAUGAUAACAAAAAGAAAAAAAUUCACAGAAUAUAAAAAUAAUAUAUUUUAAAUUAUAAAAUAUUAAAAUAAAAAAAUGUAAAAUUNAACCCCCCCAAAAAAAAAAAAAAAAAAAAACUGUAACCGUGACAUAAGAAAGAGGAAAAAAGUAAGAGAAGCGGCUUGGCUUAUCCACACACUCCACACACAAAAGGGAGCGAGCUGCCGGAGCGAGGGAAAGAGAGAGAGAGAGGGAGAGGGAGCUGACAGCCCUGCGCGUGAGAAUCGAGAGAGAGAGAGGGAGAGGGAGCUGACAGCCCUGCGCGUGAGAAUCGGAUGAUGAUGGCUGUCGGCAGUGGGUACGGCCCCCCUUGCUGACUGCUGAGUUCCUUCGCCGCCCCCCCUCUCUCUCCACCGCAGCCUGCCUUCCUUCCUUCCUUCUCCGAUGGCUUUUCUUGCUCUCCUCCCUUCCGGCCCUCUCCCGCCGGCGCUCCCCGUCCGAAAGAGCUCCCACGCGCCGCCCGGAAUGAGCUUCCUUCGCCCCUCUCCGCCGUCCGACUUAACUCCUUCCACCUUCUUCAAUCCUGUGAGAAAAGACGAAUCAUUCUUCUUGUGCUACUGUUUUCGCUUUCCAACGUUUUAGUAAAAUAUGAAGCAAUCGUUAUUCUCUAAAAACUUCACAUAGGAAAGAACGGCGUGUCAUGUCUUAAAUGGGAGGAAAUUGAAUAAGGUUAGUGAUGCGGCCAAUUUAGUAUAUGGGUAUGUUUGGUUCACCUAUUUUAGACUAUGGAAUCAGAAUGGAAUUUAUUGAUUUCGAUAGUUGCCGUUUGUUUUAUAGAAAUCGGAUUCCAAUUUUCAUUCUACUCCGGAAUGGGAAUGAUCAAAUCCAUUUAUGAUCCAAUCCGGCUUUGAAUUCCGAAUUGGCUCAUUCUAAAGUAAACUAUUCAAAAUCCACUUUCAUCAACAUCUACCUCCUCUCCCUUCAUCACUUUUCUCCCUCUUAAUUAAAAUCCUCUCUCAAAAAUUUUAAAUUUUCAUUCCGAUUUCCAUUCCAAUAAUGAACCAAAUAUUUUUGGAUGAUUCGUCAUUCUAUUUUUCAUUCUAAAGCAAUGCAAUUCGAUUUCUCAUUUCUAUUCCGAUCAUGAACCAAACAUGUCUUUAGAGUUUUUCAGAAAAACGUGACUCAACCAAACCAAGCCAAAACUUCUAUUGAGUUCGGUCGCUUUUACUAUUGGCAUGAGAAAUCUUUAAAUGGCCAUAAUUUUUCUCUCCGGUAUCUAAUUUCAGCGUGCAACCUAAUUCGGAAAACACUUUUCGAGAUCUACGCGUCGAACCACGAAACCGUUCCAGCCAAGUAUGGGACCCAAAUACAAUUGUUUCGGCCUCCGUUUUGCAUUUUUAGGUUAAUUCGGAAAAUGUUCUUAAUUUUUUUCAUUUUGAGUCUGAUUAUUUGAUUAUUUCUAAUCUGAGUAAGUUUAGAGAUAUAUCAGAAUUUAUUAUCUUCAUCUAGUAGGAGUCCAAUAUCGCCUCUUUAUAUAACCGUGAUGCUCGGUUAAUGUAAUCGGAAAUUUUGAGAGUUGAUUAAUAUAUUUUCGUCUUUGUCGAAUAAUUUGUUCUUCAUAUAUCAUCUCUUUUCAUCCUUGAGCUUCUUCCCUCUCAACACCGAUUAUAGCUUGCAUCAAUUAGGAGCUUGAUGGGAUUCAAAUGCAGAAUCUGCUACUCUUUUACUCAUAUUAAGUAAUAUGGGAUAGUGUUUUAGUUUUAUACAUUCAACAAUAUAUACAUAUAGAGAGGGAGGGAGGGAGGGAGGGAGAGAGAGAGAGAGAGAGUCCGGCUGGUAUACUAUCGGUAGUUCGGAGGCUUUCGUGUUACCAAGUUGUUUUCAAUAAUGCAGCUUCCCAAUCAACGAUUGGCUCUGUUAAAUUUGAUCUUUACUAUUGAAAGUAUUUAGAAACUAAGUUUUAUAAUUUUUCGACAUCAUUUACCUAUCAAACAAGUAGUCUAAAAAUGAACGACUGAAAAUAAAAAUCUCAUAAAAAAUAAUGAUAAAAGACUUCAAUUUAAAAUCAGAGGUACUGAUUUUACUCUAAAUAGUGAAAAGAAUUUUCUAUAAAAACUUCAUCAGAUUUGGAUUGUUUUAAACUAUUAAAUUCACAAACGCAUCAUAUCAACCAUUAAAAUUGUAAAUUUUGAGACCUUUUGAUCAUUAGCCAAAUGAUGUCGAAAAAUUAUGAACUUUAGUUUUCAAAUACUUUCAAUAGUGUAGAUCAAGUCUAGCGGAGCCGAUCGUCGAUUUGGAAAUUGCAUCAUUGAAAACAACUUGGUAGCACGGAUAGUAUACCAGCCUAGUUUGAUAUAUAUAUAUAUAUAUAUAUAUGAUAGUUUAUUGAAUAAUGUUAUUCAAUUUAUAUAAUUCUAUAGCAUUAAUUAUCGCUAACUCCAUCUGUCCAUUUGUUUCUACAAACUUCUACAGUUUAAUCCAACGGAAUUCCCAAGUGUUCGGAUCUGUUUGAAAUGAUAGCAAACUACAGGGGCUAAGGGCCUAAAGUGCAAGGGGGUAUUUUAUAAUUUAGCCUAUAACUGUUGUUGAUACGUUUUUUAACAAAAUCUGCAGUUCCAUCAGGUGAGAGAAGAGUUCAGAGCAACUGAAUUUAACAUGAUCACUGCUAGCUAAACUUAAACAAAAUUUAUAAUUUAUAGUUAAGUAAUGUCAAUCCAAAAAAGAAAAUAAAAAAAUAGAUCAGUGGUCUAAUUUAAAAUGGACUGUGGUUGAGGGUGGGGUACCAAAGAGUUUUGCCUUCUAUCUUUGUUGAAAUUUAGGUCCUGUUUGAUUGUCAGAAUUAGGUCUCCAAGGAUAACUUGUUGAAAGUUUGAUUUUUUACUUCUUGAAAGGCUUUGCUAUUCAUGACUUGAUAGAAUAACAUAUUUCACCUACGAGAUGAUUUAUUUUAUUCUGAAAAAAUGACUUGAAGGUUUAAUAUGACAUUCCAUUCUAAACUUUGAUCACACUUCUCGUCAUCCAAAUGUAUAAUCUUCUUAAGUAAAUUAAGGUGAUAUACCGAACAAGAUAUUCAUGCAUCCAAACAGGGCCUUACUGUAAGAUUUUACAUAUAGAGAAGAUUAUAUAAUUAUUCUAACUUUUAUGAUGAUUGUUAUCCUGCAUGAUGGAAAUAUACGUUGCAUAGACUUAUAAUAUAUAUAUAUAUAUAUUCGGCCUAUUAGAUUUUAAUAGGGGAUUUAAUCCAUUAAACAUGAUAAGGAUUGAAUCCCUGACCUCAUGUGUGGUAGGGGUUUAGAAGUGGUUCUGAUAUCAUGUUAACCAAUGGAUCAUCUGAUAGGACGUGAUUCUAGAUUGUAAUUUGCAAUUACUUUUGUCUGCUAGAAUACCUAUCUCUUUUGAGCCAGUUUCCUUAAUAUUUUAUUGUAAUUCUAUGCAGAGGAAGCUGAAAUUUCUAGCACGUGCUGCGCAAGAUCUCAAUGCUCAACCACAUCUUAGUCUUGAAAUUGUAAAGGUAUGCAUGUAUGUAUCGUCGUAAAGGUACUUAUUUCUGCUUUUGAACGUGAAAAGUUUGAAGUAGGAAGUGAGGAAGAGUCAAAAGAUGUGUUUUUCUCUAAUGCAUCUGGACGAAAACGUGAAAAAUUAUCCAAUAAAAUGCGUCAAAAUAAUACAUUUAGAACUUUUCAAAGCUAAAUGUAACAGAAUCGUCACCUGCUUCCCUCGAAUGAUUAGGAAAUUUUGGUUUUCUCUAAUGCUUUAUACUGAUAUAUGCCUCGAUGUACUACAUCUGGAGCAGUGUUAGAAAUUCAUUAAUAUUAGUCUGUGGUGAUUGCAUGUUUAAGGGAUAAUUUGACGAAGAUAUACCAAAUGAUCAGUAAUAUAGUCUGUGGUCAUUGCAAGUUUAGAUAAUUACGUACUGGAGUUAACUGGAUUAAUCAUGUAGCUUUGUCAAGUUUGAUAGAUCACAUAAUCGCUUUAGCCUAAUUCCCUUCAGAUGGGGUAAGUCUUGUUUCUCCUGUUUGUGAGUAUUUUGCUGUAGCUUCAGUGACAUAAGAGUUUAUGAUGUUAUGGUCUAUCAACUCAUCAAUGUGAUGGGAGACAUCCUCUACGGAGAGGGAUAGCAAAAAUCUUUUGCCAUUUGUAUUUUGGUAACUUAUUCUUUGGUUAAAAGCCUAGAACGAGCAUCCUUGGAACAAAUCUAAAUCUGUAACUCGCAUUAUGUGUAUGCUAUCCUCCUACCAGGUUUCCACUUGUGUUGACUUUUCUUUCUUUAUUGUGGUUUGCUGAGACUCUUUCAUUGUAUGAAAUGUACUUUCGAAAUCACUUGAUGUGAGACAAAGUUAAAAACUUCGAUCUUCAUCACUAAUUGUUUUAAUUUGAUCUUCUGUUCUUCUUCGCUGAAAAGGCAGGUUAGUAGUACAGAAGUAGAGAUGAGAGGUUCGAUCUCAAAGUACCAUGACGGUACGGUCCAUCUUUCACAUGGUUAUAAGCUUUGUAUGGUUUACUUUCGAUUGAAGAUAUAUGUUUUUAACUUUUUCUCAUACUAUAUUUGCUUCUGGUGUGACAAACGUAGGAGUUUCUACUUGAUAAAUCCUGUCGAAUCUUAAUUAAUUUGGACAUAACAGCAUAUUUGCCUAUUACAUAAGGAAACUGAUUCAUCUUGACAGUGAGCAUAUCUCCUUGGAAAAUAUUGGGAAGGCAUCCAAAAUAAGGAUACUGAUUUUUUUUUGACACAGAGAUUGGUCCCUUUUUAUUUUCAACGAACAUCACUCAAGAAAUAAAUCUAUAAUCUUCCAUUAUUCCGUAUUUGCUUCUGUUGAAUUACUAAUUCCUUUGUUAUUUCAGGGUAUUUAUUAGUCAUCGGAUAAUUUUUUUUUUAAAAAAGUUCAUUGUUAUCCUGCUGUUUUCCGAUUUUACAUUUAUUUAUAGAAUUAUUUGUUUAUAAAGAAAAGUUAGAAUCCUCUGAUACGUAUGUCCUUUCUUUGAGAAUAUUGAAUCAUUUUCUGCAAUGAUUAUGUACUCUGUUUAAAUCUGAAUAAUGUUUGAUUAAAUUAUUCUAACUUUCUACUUGAAACCAUUAUGCCAAUCUUGACAUAUGUUCUUUCAUUCUAUCAGAAGCUCUCAAGGACCUAUCUUUUAACGACGAGACGGAGAGUCACAGCAGUUUGUCACUGCGAUUUUCUGCUUUUCCAUGUGGCGUGAUGUCAUGGCUGGGUUUCACACAACUAGCGCAAUCAAGCGAAGGAGUGAAGAUAGACAUGGUUUAUGAGAUUGGGGAGUUGUUUGAGCUGGGAAUACAGCUGUCUUAUUUGCUCAUAUUAUUAGGUCUUCUUGGAGCUGGAACCUUCUUUGUCAUUCGUCAGGUUCUUGUUCGUCGAGAGCUUGAUCUUUCUGCUAAAGAAUUGCAGGUAAGCUGCUGGAAGCUUUUCUUUUUUUUUUUUUCAAGGAACAUUUAGCUAGUUGUUUGAAAUGAAUCAUAUAUGAACAAGAAACACACUUAAAUGAUGCCAUAGUUGAAAAUUAAGGGUAAGUUACACCAUCAAUUCCUAAACUAUUGCUUGAAUUCAUUUUGGUCCCUAAACUUUGAUUUGUUGCACUAGGGUAUUUGAACUUUUGAAACAUUCCAAAUUUAGUCACAUUCCAAGUUAAAGUCCUGUUGUCUGCAUCCAUCAUGCAGAAAAGCCGAAAUUUGACAUAGCAUGCCAAGUCGCUGUUCCUGAACCUGUAGAGUGUAGAUUACUAUUUUUAACGACUAUUUUUCAUGAUUACCACACUAAUUAAGAUUGAAGUAGCUAAUGAUGCAAACCGAGGGGACUUUUUGUCGGAUCGUUGGCGCUAACCAUUAAUUCCAAAAUCUCGAGCAGUUAGAAAUACGCAACCAAUUCACUUAAAGCGUACAGAAACAGCGCCCAUAGGUCUCGAUUGUGACUCGGCCCACCUCACGCCACUUCGAACAUGACUCGGCCCAACCUAGCCUCACGCCAUUUCAAACAUGAUUCGGCCCACAUGGCCUCCCGCCACAGGGCAGGAUGCUGGCCCAUUUAAGCCAACACUUUUGAGUCGCGCAGAUAAGUUACGAACUCACAAGCAGUUACUUGGCCUGCUAUGUUAGAAUUCUCUCUCUUUGAACAAUGGAAGCUGGCAGCUGGACUGAAUUUGGAAUAUUUCAAAAGUUUGAGGCCCUUAAUGCAACAAAUUAAAGUUCAUAGAUGGUUAGAUAUGUUUCAUUAUAUAUGCGCUUUUAUUGUGUCUUUCUGUUUUGCUUUUUUAUUUUAUUCUUUUUGUAUUUAUAGACCUAUUGUUUUGUUAAAGAGAGCUGUUGUUUACUUUUCACUCGUUAUAUUUUUUAUUAUGCUGAGAUUAUGUGCCAAAAUUGAAGUGUGUUUCAAAUUAAUUGGCUAUAUAUUUUGCUGUCUAUGAUAAAUUGGCUCUUUAGUAAUUUAAAAGAUUAUGUAGGUUAUAACUGCCAAUGAUAGGCACAAUAUUGCCAAAAAGUCUUAUUUAGCCCUAUUUUUAAUCUGAUCCCACAUUAGAUAUUUAGAUAUCUGUAGACUGAUAAUGAAGAACCAUGUAAGAAUGAGAAAAACUACAUCUUGUACAAACGAUGGAUGUCUUCCCUGGCACCCCUCUCAUUAUUUUGUCGUCCUUUGAGUGUAUGUAAUGUCAUUAGUGUUUCUGGUUAUUAGUCUUUCAAAUUGCAUUUGGACUGGAUCUGGAUGAUCUUAAAUUUGUAUUAUAUGCUGAUAACUCUUACUCGCAAUUCGACACUUGAGGAACAAGUACGGAGUGGCGAUGCGACUGCCACGGAGUGUUUUGAGCUUGGUGCUGUCAUGCUCAGGAGAAAAUUUUAUCCUGCUGCUACAAAAUAUUUAUUGCAAGCAAUCGAGAAAUGGGAUAGGGAUGACCAAGACCUAGCACAGGUAAGAAUCACAUAUCCUAUCUAUUUAUUAACAAUCGUUAUCAUGGUUAAUAACUCUCAGUUUUAGUGAUGCCCCAUAUCUUUAAUUUUUUUUAUAUAAAUAGUUGGACGCUUGUUUAUCUCGAGGCGAUUUCAUGUUUGCAUGGUCCCGUUCUUCCUAGUUUUUCAAAAGCAUUGCUAGUAAGUGGUUGCUAAUGAAGAUCUCUUCUUGAGUGAAUUACUCAACAUAUUUUCACUGAAGUUGUGAACCUAUUUUCAGUCAAAAGAAUUCGAAAGGCAUAUUAAUUUCCUAAAAGGAGCUUAUCUAGAGAAUAUAUUAGGCCUUCCUAGUUUUUAUAACAUUAAUAAAGAAUCAGUGGAAUUGGUUAGAUAGCGUCAGUACUAAGAAAUUCUUUUUUACACUCCACAAUGAAUAAUAACUUAUGAUUUGCAUUUUCACUUUCUCUGCACUUCAUUAUGAUUUUACUUAAUUUGUGACAAACUGAGAAUGGCUCAUCGGGACGUGACACAAGUAGGGUUUACAGAUUGAAUAGGAGAGUAGGAAAUUUUUAAGGGCUUAGAGGUAAGGACUUGCUCUAAUAAAAUAGUAUCCUUAGCUUUCUUUUUUUUUUUCCUCCUUUUCUACAGGUAAUCUGUACCCAUGUUAUCUGUAAAAAUAAUUGAAGUAUAACUAGUUUGAAAAUGACCUCAAUUACCUAACCCACAUUUCGCUGUAACCUUUCUUCAAAAGUUCUGAUUAGAUCAUUCUACUCAAAUCAAAAACUUUUUCAAAUUCAUCGUAAUUUUGAAUCUUUGAUGCAAUGGCUAUUCUAGUUAGGCGGUUGAACUGAUAAUCUGUUGGGGAAUAUGAAUGGAGAUAAAGUAAAUUAUGGUCUUGAGGCGUGUAAGUUCACUUUCUUUAAGGUGAUAUUUGCCCCCACUCGAAUGUAUGCUGUCGGGUUACCGACAAAUCACCUCCAGGAUACAACAAGACCGCUGAAAGACUGCAAACAACACUUUUGAAGACUUUCCCUUAAGAACUUCUCUCUUAAGAAUCAAUAUGAAAAAUUAGGAAGGAGAAAGGAUUGAUUAUGUUAUUCUUGAAGCCUUCAAACAUCUCCUAUUUAUAGGAGGUGACUGGUUAUGAUGAAAGGACAACUUUUAAAGUUAUAUUCUUUCACAAAAGGACACGUACUUUCACAAAUAACGAAAAGACAUAUUCUUUCACAAAAGGUUCAUCUCUUCGUGAAGAAAUAUAUCUCUUCUUGAAGGGACAUCUUUACAUCAAAUGAAAAGACGAAUCUUUUCAUAAGAAUAACUAUUUUAUGAAGAGACAACUAUUCAAUAAUCUCACUUCCACUAUUAUAAGCUACACUAACAUAAUCUCUCAAGCAUGUAUAAAGCUGAUAGAAGUUUGUUGGUCUUUUACAAAAGUGAAUUCGCAGGUACACCAUCAAAUUUAUGAACUGGUGGCAGAAACUCUUGAGAUGAUCCUCGAGAGUCCACCUAAAAUAGAUUGGUUGAAGAGUUUUUAAGGCACCGGAUAAUUCUUUUUAUUUGUAUUCUGUAACAAUGCCUGAUUGAAUUAAGAUCAAUUGCCCAUGCAGAGUUUUUAAAAGCUACAACAUCAUCCUCUUUGAAAACUUUCCAUUAAUUCUCAUAAGAUGUGAUGAGAAUCCACAUCAUGUGUGACUUGAUUUCUUCUUCCAUUCUCAGUUAAUCCUAUUUACAAGUCUAGCAGCGUGAUUGGUCAAGAUUUAUGUACUGAAAUUUUAUGAUGAUUCAUCAUGAACCCAUUUGACACACAGGACUGGAUUGGAUUGGAUUGGAUAAUAUAAGACAUGAGUGCGAUGUUGGGAAAGGAGGGGUCAUUUAGUGACUCAAAAAGGCAUCGAGGUUCAUGAGAGGAAUCAAAUUGGAUCAAAUUUUUCCGUCGAUUUUGUUAAUCGCAAACGAGAUGCUGCUAAUAAACAAGAUUGGAUUUGAAAUAUUCUUUUCUGCCCGACCUGUUCCCUGUUUCUACUCUUUAUGAUCCCGUGACACCUCCGACUCACUAAACACUUCUUCUCCCCUAGUAUUGCUCUUUUAUCUUAUUGUUUCCAAUCUAAUCCUGAAUGCCAAAUGAGGUCCGUGUACUUAAAAAUCAUGGGGAUAAUAAUAAUAAUAAUAAUGCUUACUUAAACAUGAUCACAAUACAAGUUAUACAGGCGACUCUCUUAGUCUCUUCGAUCACUUUAUGCUGAUGUAAUAGUAUAUUUGCAUUUUGCACAUACUACUUUUCUAGUAAAUUUGAAGUUACAUAGUGGAUAUGCUGAAAAAUAUAAGCAUCCGUGUACUCUUGCUAUGUUGAUUCAGAACAAACUGAACACUGGUGAGUUUUGAACAGGUGUACAAUGCGCUGGGAGUCAGCUAUGUCCGCGAUAAUAAGCUUGACAAAGGAAUAAUGAUGUUUGAGAAAGCAGUGAAGCUCCAACCCGGGUACGUUACGGCUUGGAACAAUCUCGGCGAUGCGUAUGAGAGGAAGAAAGACUUGAGAGCCGCGCUGAGGGCAUUCGAAGAGGUGCUCCUUUUCGACCCGAACAAUAAGGUGGCGAGGCCGCGGCGAGACGCCUUGAGAGAGCGCGUCCAGAUGUACAAGGGAGUUUCGAUCAAAUCUGAGGAUCGGUAAUUCUGACUUUCUUGUAACUGAGAAAUUCUAAUUUUGACUUUGCUUUUUCUGAAUUUUCUAAAAUUCAAAAUUCUGAGCUUGCAGUUCUAUGACAUAAUAGUGUGAUUAGGAUUGAAUUGUGCAUUCUUAGUUAGCUAAACAAUUAGCAUGAAUAAAAGGAAUAAAAAGCGGAAGAUCAGAAGAACACUUCAAAAGAGAAAGGUGAAACUUCAAAAGUCCCCCAAUGAAUCAUGGCAUAGCACAUUCGCGAAUUUACUAUCCCGUGGUUCAAAAUACAGCGCUUUGUCCGCUUAUGAUUAUUGUUUUAGUUUUCUGUCAGGUUCUGCCAUUCAAAAGGGUAGCAAAAUUCUAAACUUUAUAAACCUAGGAGGGCAAAAUGUAGCACUUUAUCGCACCGUUAUUUGCGCUUUACUAUUCCAUGGUUUAUAAAGUGUACCACUUUGUUGUUCUCUUGAAUUGCAUGUUCUUAUGAAAAGCUUAAACAGAGGUCUUAAGGAGGUAAUGUGUUAUACUUUGAAUCACAGGUAGUAAACUACAGAUGUGCUAUGCCUUAUUUUUAAGCUUCCCCAGAGAAAAAAUAUUACCACUUUCAAAGGAGAACUGCUAUAGGCUGGGUUAGGCAUGAGGAAAAGGUAUACAUUUGAUUCAUUUUAGCAAGGAUUAAUUUCUAUUUUUUCAUUAUCCUAAUGAUGUCUUUUCCAUUUAAGAAAGUUUGAAGUUGAAAAGUUAAAUAUUAAAGAAAAGAGUUGUUUUUGUUCUUGAUACUUGCCAUAGUGUCAGGGUCUCUUAAAUAGAGAUGCACUAGGGUUUAGUAAGGCAAAAUAACUACAAAUACAAUGCCAUGAUAAGCUUAUCAUAAUAGGAAGUAUGUUAAUAUGUAUGAAAAUCAUAUGUGAUAUAUAUGCAUGAUACAUGAUAAUGCCCAAAUUUAUGUGAUUAAGUGAAGAUAUUAUUAUACUAACAAAGAACUCUCAUGACACAUUUGAUUCAUAAUAGGAAUCGGAAUCAGAAUGAGCUGGAAUUAGAGAUGAAAUUAUGAAUCUCCUGUAGAUGUUUGGAUUAGAAUAACAAUUGGAAUGGGAAUAGUUGAUUCCUAUCUUUAUUGUUUAUCUGAAAUGGAGGAAGUGUUAAUAAUUCGAAAAAUAUUUAAAAUAAAAUUUAGAUUGAAAUUUAAAAUAGAAAAUUGAGUUUAGAACUCAAAACAUAAAAUUGGAGUUGAACAUAAUUUGAAUUUAAAUUUAAAUUCAUAGCUCUAAUUCCAACUGGAUGAUUGAAUUUAAAAUUCAAGUCAAGUUGAAAUCUAAAUCUAAAUUUAAAAAUCAGAUUCAAAACGUAAACUUGUAUUUUAAUUCAAAAUUGAAGUUCCCGAUCUUAAAGAUUCAAAUUUGAGUUCACACUUACUAAUUUAAACUCGUAUUGUACUUCGAAAUCGACUUCAAAACUUUUAAUUUAAGCUUGUAUAAAAAUUUGAAUUUGAAUUUUAAAUCUCUAUGAAAAAUGUAAUUGAGAUAUAUUAGGAAUAUGCAUUGAUUCUCCUGAAUUCAGUUUUCAAUCUGUUGCCCUAGGCCUAGGGAUGCAAACGGGGCGGAUCUGGGGGCAGAAGCCCCGCCCCGCCUCCCGCCCCGACUAGUAAAAUCCCACCCCACCUUCCACUCCGAAUCCGUGACGGGUUAAAAAAUACAUUCCAUAAUCUGCUCCGUCUCAUAACCCGCCUCCCACCGGCGCCCCGAAUCCGCCUCGCCAACUAAUAUUUUUUAUAAAAUUAUAAUAUUAUUAAUAUUUUGUAAAAUAUAAAUUAAUAAUUUUUAAUAAUAUUAUAUAUAUAAUUAACAAUAUUAAUUAUAAAAAUAAAAAAUAUCAAUCACAAUUCAAAACAAAAUUUAAAAGUUUCAAAUAUAUUAGAAAUGAGAGUACUAAAUUUGUAUUUUGAACUUUUUUGUAAAUACAUUAUUUUUUAGAAAUAUUUUUUUAAAAUAUAAAUAAUUUUCGGGACGGAUUCAGGGCGGAUCAUGGCGGGGCGGAUUCGGGGCGGGUCAAAAUUUCUCCCGUUUCCUACCCCGAAUCCGUUUAUCUUCUCCCAUUUACUGCCCCCGUCCGGACGGAGCAGGGCGGGAGCUCCACCAACCCGGAUCCGUUUGGAUUCCCACCUAGGCCAGAUUGAAAAAGAAGUAAUCGGAGGAUUCCCAUUCCACUCGAGAAUUAGGAUCAGAAUCAGAAUCGGAAUCGCGAUUAGAAUGAGACUCUACUAGCAUACCAAACACCCAAACAGAGUGAUCCACUCUGAUUCUGAUUCCGAGGUAAGAAAUAGGCGAACCAAAGACGGCCUCAAAGUUGUCCCACAAGUGGGAAAAUUUUGUUUAUUGCUUGGUUGACGGCCGCAGGUGGAUUGAAAGAAAUAACUGACGAAUAAUUAUAAGAAAUAACUCACGAAUAAUUAUUGAUGUUCUUUAGAUAAUCCUAUUUUAGACAAUAUAUGUAAAUUUGUUGUAUAUGCUUCUUUAACAACUUCUCUGCUAAAAAAGCAAUUCAUCAAACAGAGGAAAAAAAAAAAAAAAAAAAAAAAAAAAAAAAAAAAAAAAAACUUCUGCAAGCCCUGUUUGUAGCUCUUGAUUGUGCUGGAAUGAAAAGAUUGUAGUGCUUCUUUCUUUACUUCAGCUUAAGCAACUCACCCUUGGAAGAUGUAACUAUGCCAAGUAGACCAGGGAUGUCGAUGGGUCGGGUUCGGGGCGAAUUUUCAAAAACCCGAACCCAAAUCCGACUCCAAACCCAAACCUGAAUCUGAACCCCAAUCCGACGAAUUUUAAAAAUUCAUAUUCAAACCCGAACCCGACCAAAAAUCCAAAUCCGAACCCGAACCCAAAAAUCCGAAUCCGAAACAAUUAUUUUUCAUUCCAAUAUUUCAAAAUAUAUUAUAUUAAAUUUAAAUUUUUAAAAUGCAAAUUUAAAUAUAAUAUCAAAUUUUUAUAUACAUAUAUUAUAUAAUGUAAAAUAAAUUGAGGCUCAUAUCGGGUCCAGUUAAAAUCCAUAUCCAUAUCAGCCGGGUUUUUAUUUUUGAUAUUUAUAUUCGAAACCAUAUCCAUUUAGCAUCGGGUAAAUUCGCUCUGUUUGGAUUCAGCUUCGGAGAAAAUUUCGAGUAUCCAUACCCAUUGACAUCCCUAAAGUAGACUCAAAACCAAUUUUUAAUGGAAUAAAAAAAAAAAUUGUCCAAAAUAUCCCAUUUAGUUUUCUCAAGAAACCAAAGCCAAUGGGAAUGCCACAUUUCAUUCUUAGACUAUACUUGUCAAUUUUGAGGAAUUUUUGUACUGCCACAUAUAUUGUGAAAAUGAUUUGUUUCAGAGUGAGCUUGAAGUUAAAGAACAUUUUUCGCCGAGAAACAACGGAAAACGAAAACUUCAAUUUUUCGUCGAAUUCGUAAAAUUAUUUUUACGAAAAAAUAUUUUAUGUCGAACCAAACAGACAAAAAAAUAUUUUUCAUACCGAAAUUUUUUUUUUUUCCUUUUGUUUUACGCGGAAUCAAACAGUCUUUGGUCUUCACUUGUAGGAGAAUAGGGCUCUCCAUUAAAGGAGGGCUUGUAUGUUUAUUUUAACCAAGUGUGAAGAUCAAUUAUUUGAGAAUUCAAUUGGAGAAUUUGAAUUCAGAUCCUUAGAAUAAAUUAAUUUUAAAUUAAAAGUUCAAGGCAAAAUUUGGAAUCAGGUUUUAUGUCCAAAUGAAGCUGAAAUAUGAAUUCAUAGUUGAAAUACAUAAUCUUAGUUCACAUUAUAAUUAUAAAUAUGGGUUCAAUUUCCAAAUUUGAAAUUUCAAUAAAAUUUUGGGUUUAAUUGUUGGAGAAAACCACAACGAAAAUUCGAUUGUGAUACAAAUCGAACUAGUUUUGUGAUGAAAAAUAAAUAAAUUUAACUUACAGACGAUCGCCAAAUCCAAAUAAAUUAUAGAAAAAGAAAUCUAAGAUUAAUUUGCUCCGGAAGCGUACGAGACACUGCCCUAAGGCGUAUUUCCGUCCUUCGUGCGGGAUCAACCGAAAACAGCAGUCCAAGGUACGGCCGUAAUUUCUCUUCCUACAAGCACGAACGUGAAAGAGGUUGACGGAGACUCUUUCAACACCCCAUAAAAAAAAAAUCAAACAAAAUAAAAAUAAAAUAAGAAUUUAAAUAAAGUUUCUCCUUUUGUUUUUUCACUUAGAUCUUUCUCAGCAAUAUUCAUCCUAGAUAAACAGUGCAAUCCAAUGUAUAUAUUCCCAACAUUCCUCUUGAUUCAUGCCUUUAUAUAGCAUAAAGAAGAAAUAAAUUAAUUAAAUUUAAUCCAAAUCCAUUCAAUUAAUUAACACAAUAAAAGAUAAUAAAUGAGAAUAAUUAUAAAAUUAAAUGAUAUUUGGAGAUUUUGGAUUUUUCACCAACAUUAAUUUGGUUCAAAAUUUUUCGAUAGAAUAAAAAAUUAGAAUAUGCUUAAAAUCAAAAUAUAAGUUUAUAUAUAUCUUCGAUUCAAAUUUAAAUUUAUAUUACUAAAUAAAAUUCUACAUCCAAAUUAUAAAGUUAAAAUCAAGUUCUUUUAAUUUGAAAUUUUCUUACGCAGAAAUAACCUCUAAAAAAAAAAUCCUAAUUUCGAACAUCACACUCAAUUUUAAUUUUUUUAAAGCUAGAGGUAAAAUCUCUAUUUAUUAUCAUCUAUCUAUAAUCUAGAAUGGGCUAGAAUAUUUUCCUGGUGCUUCCAAGUUUCUAACCCUUGGAUCCACUCCUUGAUUACUAAUAGCCUUUAAAUCAAAUACUAUUCCACCUACCACCACCUACCGGGUGGGGCCCAGCCGGAAAAGAGAAGACAAAAUUUUUUUUUUCUCUCUCUUCAAUUUUUUUAUUUUUUACUAUAAAAAUUCAUAUUUUUUUUUUUAGUUAGAAAAAAUAUUUAUUUAAUAGUUUUUAAAACUAUUAAUUGAUUAAUUUUUUUAAAUAAAAUUGGUAGCAUAAUAUAAUUAUUCAAAAUUUUAAAAAAUAUUAAUAAAAAAAUAAUUUUUUAAUGUACUAAAUAAAUUUUUAAUUGUCAAAUUUUAAUAAUUAUAUAUUUUAAUUGGCUAUCCGCUGCGAAGUCCUAAGACACGUGGCAAAGAGGAGGCACAAGAGAGGGGCGCGGGAGCCGCGUGGGGCGUCGGCGCUAUGCGGAGAGCCGGCGGGCGCGGGGAGCAAUGCGGGCACGAGGCGCGAGAGGGCGCGGGCGUGCAGGGUGAGUCCCAUGCGGGUGAGCCCCAACCAUGGGGAAAGGGGAGGGGUGGUGUGGGGCCCAGGCGCCGGCGCGCGCGCAGCGGGCCCCGUGCAGGUGGAGGAAUUCUACACUGUCACACUUGUACCACGUCAUUAAUAACAAGCCAAUCACAUUUCUUCUUUUCAAACAAAAGUCCAAUAAAAAUAUUUUUUUACAAUCAUAAUAGGACAUAUAUUUCUAAAAGAAAAUAUUUGAUUGGCUUGUUACGCCACGUCACCAAUAUACCCGUUGCAUUCUAGAAUUUUUCGUGCAGGUGGGGCCGAGCCAGGGGACGGAGAGGGGAAUUUUUGUAUCUCUUAAAUUUUUCUCUCUUCGUAUAUAGAAAGAAAGUUUUAUAAUUUUUUAAAAAAUUUUCAAUCUAUUUUUUAUCUUUUAUUAUAAAAUUUAAAAUAUAUAAAUAAUUUUAAAUAGUUUAAACUGUCCGUAUUAAAUAUAAAUAUUAAUUUUAUAAUAUUGAGUAUUCAGAUAUAGAAUGUAUAUUAAAAAAUUUAAAAAAGAUUAAUGGAGUUUAAGUUAUUUUUAUGUUUUGUGAAAUUUAAUUGCGAGAAUUAUAUAAUAUAAACUAACUAACAUAUUAAUAUGCACCAAAUGCAAGUAAAGAUUUUUCUUCUCAUUUCACUAACUCAUUGGGGAUUACCAUGCCUACUAAAAAAUUUGGAUGCGCUGAUUACACCAUUUAUUAUUUCUUAAUACCUUAUUAGACACGUGGUCAUGUUUGGAAUAAUUAGUAUAGAGUAAUUUCAUUCAUAUCUCUCAAAAGAUUAAAAAUAUCAUAAAUAAUCAUGCGCCCCGCGCCUCCGCCUCCCGCUGCCACGUGUGCAGUUAUUAGGAAUAAUAUAUCUUUAUAGAUUAAUAAUAUCAAAGCAAAUAAAAGAGAACAAGAUGAGUAAAUAUUUAAUAAAGUUGAAAACUAUUUCAAAAUAGCUUAUUAUUAAGAACGGUCAUUAUAUUUUCUAUGUUAGGGAAUAUAGCUAUACUUAUUUGAAACUUUCUAUGUUAGGGAAUAUAGCUAUACUUAUUUAAAAUCGUUUCGUAAUUUUUUCGUCACAUUCUAUAAUUAUUUUAAAAUUGAUUUUUAAAACUAAUUUAAAGAUUGAAUUUUAAAAUAACUAUCCGCAGCAUCGCACGGAUCCCUUAACUAGUAUAAACUUGAAACUACAACACUUGUAAAAAAUUUAUAUUACACGUCUUUUAGAAUUUAUUGUACCAAAAAAUAUAUAAUUGAGAGCAUGAUUUUAAAUCUAAGUUUAGUUUUUAAGUUCAAAUGAUCAAUAAUAACUUCGAACUUUGAAACUGUCACAUAUCUAGAAAUUAAACUAAUAUUGGAUGAUUUUUUUAAUAAUUGACUUGAAUAGUCAAAAAUUUAUAUUCAAAGUUUAAUCAAAAUUCAAUUUUGAGGAAAAAUUUAAUUUGCAUACCGAAUUUUUUUUUAUUUUGUGUAAAUUGGAGGAAGAAGAAAAAAUAAAUAAAUAGUGUAAUUUCAUCCUAAAAAGUGCAACUUCUACCUAAAUAGUACAACUUUAUCUUAAAAGUAUAAAUCUGAUUCCAAUGACUGGGUAGAAUAGAUCCAUCUAAUUUCGAACAUUUUUUCCAACUAGAAACAGCAAAUUAAAAUUUUUAACCCAAAAUAAAUGCGUAAUGAGGAUAUUUAUCAAGUUCGAUAAAGUUUUUUUUUUUUUUUUAUUUCCCAUAAACCCUGCCUGGGCCAUAGCGUUACAAAUAAAAAUAAAAGAAAUCAAACUACCAAGACAUAAGGGCAUAAAAGAAGAAGGUGUUAGUCCAGUAAACAUUUAGUUGGCAAGGCACUUCUAAAAUAAAAUUCAAUUAUAUAGACUUACAUGAGACCAGUGCCAGCAAUAUCAAACUCCAAAUGAAUGCAUGACCGAUCAGAAGUGCCAUUUGCAAGGCUCCAACUCUUCUCCAAAUAUUCGCCAUCUUCAUGGUUGAUAAAUACGAAGGCCCAGUCGCGGAGGCGUGCGUGGUGGGCGGUGAUGGCCCAGUCGCGGAUCCACCCGAAGCUGUGGAUGCGGGCUCCAACAGCUCGCCGACGUCGCCGAGGCUGCCGACGACGUUCGCAGCGGCCGAGUCGGAGACGUCCAGGAAGGUGGGCACGGCGCCAACGGUGAUGAACAUGGAUAGCACACGGGCAUUGUUGUUGUUGUUGUUGUUGUUGUUGUUGUGUUGGUCGGCGGAGGAGGCCAAGGAGGAGCAAAGGGAUUUGAUGAGGGCGGUAGGACACUCAGGGAGGAGAUCGAAGGGGAAGAAAGAAGGAUGUGUUAGUUGUAUGCCCAAAAGCCAAUCUGGUAACACUAGCUUAAGGGUAUUUUAUGUAUUAAUUAUUUAUAAUUCAUAAUAUAAGGGCAGAUAUUUUAUUCAUGUCUAUUGUAUAGCAGUUCAAUAUUGACAUGAAUCGUCCAUAGAGUCUUUGUUUAAAAAGACAUAUUCCUAAGAGUUAGGAAUUUGAGAUAUAUAUUUUUCUGUACGAGACUCUUUAAAUGCUCCUAGCCAGAGGAAUAUUACAGGAAAUAUGAUGUUCCGGAUAGGCCGAUGUAUCCUAUGUUUCUAAUUGAGAUGACGAAUCUCAAGUCACUAAUAUAGGGACACUAGAACAAGCAUACAGGUGCUUGUUAGAGAACAAGUAUACUGAGCGUGACUAUUUAGUUGAACAGUCACAUGGUUCUAUGCUCGCCAGUGACAAGUCCAUUGCUACAGUUGUGUGAAGUACUCCUCGGACCUGAGGCAUCAUAGUUGCUUCACGUAUAGAUUGCUACCGUUUGACAGUACUAAUACUUAGACUCUAGACACAUGUCUAUGUUCGGUACUGAUUGGCUGUAGUGAUUUAUGCGAGGAGGCAUGUGAAUGCGCAAUAAGAAAUCCAACACUCUCAAUGAUGAGGGAGAAUGUCCUAUAUAGUUUAUCGGACUCGACUCGAAAAUUCCUGGCCAGAAUAUAUGGUAUGUGGAAAGAGUUUCUAACUGUGUUACCAUAUUGAGUUGAUUUCAGAUAUUCUAAUCAUAUGGUCGAUGAUAAAGUUUGGCGAGUAACCAUGACCUUAGUUCGAUUGGGACGUUGUAUAUUGGAAGGAAUUAAUCACAUGGUAACUGAAAGCGGAAAGAUUCAUUCUUCAUCACCAUUCUAAAUUGCUGUGAUAUACUGCUAGGUGUCACUCACGGACGGUGAGAAAAUAUGAAUGAUUCGAAUUGAAUUGUUCUUAUUUAUCGAUUAGAAGAGUUCUAAUUAAAUAUCAAAUUGUUUGAUGUUGAGCUCCACUGCCGAAUGAUAAUGAACUUAUGUGGUCACACACAUUAGGAAUUGUGUGCACCUGAAUCAUUUGGAUAAGAGUCGUUCACCAAAGAGUUUAGUGUAAGCGAUGAAAAUAAAAAGAAGUUGUUUAAUUAAAUUAGAUUUAAUUAUUCAAUUCAGUUAUAACUGAUAGUCCUAAUUAGAUUAGGAUAUCAGAAUCAGUUCGAGAAUUAUGCGCAAGAUUUAAAUUUAUCUCUAAUUAGAUUAGUGGAUAAUAUUUAAAAGAUAUUUAAAUGAGAUUUAGAUAUUAGUAAGUAAUUUUAUUAGAUAAGAUCAAAAUUAGAUAAGAUCUAAUCAAAUAUUGGAGAGAUUAAUAUUUAUCUCUAAUUGGAUUAGAGAAUAAUUAAAUAUUCAUAAUAUCUUAUGAGAUAAGAUUUUUUACUAGAUUUGAUUUAGUUGGAUAAGCAUGAAUAUUUAAUUAUUAAAUUUUAUUGGAGAGAGAAAAAUUUUAUUAAAUAAAAUUUUAUGAAAUAAAAUUCUAUAUAUAUACAUAUAUAGAUUUAUAUGUAUAUGUUAGCAUAAAAAUUAAAAUAAAAAAAAGAAAAGGAAGAGAACCGUAAGGCACAUAGUGCCAUACGGAUUGAAUGCAUGGUAAUUAAGAUGCCAUGCAUCUUAAUUAAUUUGAUGCAUGUUAGCUUUUUGAUCUAUAUACAUAUAGAGAUCAAUCUCUCCGAUUUCUCUCCGCGUGCACACGUGUUUCUCUCCGAUCAACUUCUCUACUCUUCAUCGACUGGUGCAUCAUGAGGGAUUGCUAGCACCGUCCAGAUGGUCCGUGACUCAUCCGAUUCGUGAGACGAAAAUUGAUCGUGUCGCCGAUUCCGUGUGGAUACGCGUAGAGGCCGGGCUUGUGCGCGGCUAAUCAGAACCUUUAUUCGUCAUAUUCAGUUUCAACCGUACAGUAAAUCAAGAGACCUUAACUGGUCCAUGGUAAGAUCUCUAAACAUAAAGAGUUUUGUUUAGAUUAAAUUUUUACACAGUAACAUGAGAAUGAUCCGCCAGCAACGGUUUGAUUUAUUAUUUUUCGGUUUUCAUAUGUGAUAUGUAUUUAGCUUCUGCAAAAUUUUAAAAGUGUAAAAACUAUUUUCUGCUACGUUUUUUUUUCUGAUGUGCCGGUUAAUUUCUAACAGGAGGAAGAAAAGGAAGAGAAAAAAUAGUGUAAAUUGGAGAAAGAAGAAGAAAAAAGAAAUAGAGUGCAACUUCUACAUAAAUAGUGCAACUCACUACAACAGAAUUAGGUUAUAGGGACACAUGUUUGGGACACUUUUGAGUAAGUGUCCCAUUUAUACUAAAACUUAAAAAAAUAUUUACUAAUGCCUAAAUAUAAAGCCCAAUCCAACCAAAAAUAAAAGAUUACUCUACUCAACCCACCACACCCAGUCCAUUUGGCCCGAUUACAAACAGAAAAGAAAAAAAAAGAAAAAUCAAUUACCAUAUUUUCUUCUCUCUUCACUCAAUCCACUGAAAUUCUAGACGAAGAGCCAUUCCUGUCGUCCUCCUCCGCCACCGCAGCCAACGAAAUAGAGUUUCGGCGGUUGCUAAAUGCUUAAAUAAGUUGUUGGUAAAUUAGCAGCACUCUUUUAGGUUAUAGCGACACUCUUUAAUUGUCACUAUAUACCUAGCGACCCCACAUAUAGCAACACUUUUUAAAAGUGUCGGUAAUUUUAGCUAGCAGCACUUUUUUGACAUGUACCUACAUUUAAAAGUGUCGCUAUAGACCGUUUUUGUUGUAGUGUGUACUUAAUCCUAAAGAGUGUAAAUCUGAUUUCAAAGACUGUAAUUUCUGUCUCAAUUCUCAAAUAGUGCAACGUUUAUUUAAAAUAGUGCAACAUUAUUUUAAUAGUGCAAUUUCAUUAUCUUCUUCCUUUUUAUAUGAUUUUUGAUCUUUUAUGGAGGAAAAAAAUAUUUUUUUAUUUUUAUUUUUAUUUUUUAUAAUUUUUUUUGUGACGAUCUCCCCCUUGCACUCUAUUGCAACCAUCGCCCUCGCUGGAGUUUUCUCCCUUCUCUUGGUGUGCUUUUCGUCCUCGAGAAGCGCUUUUUCUUCGUCGCCGGUGGCAGCGGUAGGCUGCGAAGGCGGUGGAGGAGGAUCGGAGAAAAAAAAAAAGAGUUGCGGCGCGGUCUCAGCGGGGUCGGAGGCGAGGAGGGAGGGUGGGUGCGCGGGCGAGAAAGAGGGCGUGAGGGAAAGAGGUGAGGCACACCGUUUCCACCUCUGCCUCCGUCGCCUUUUUCGAAAAGGAAAAAUAAAGAAAGAGAGAACAAAAAAGAAGAGAGAGAAAAAAUAAUAAGGGCAUUUUGGUUAGUUUACUAAAAAUUCAGACUAAAUCUGUAAAAUCGAAAAAAGCGGCCCAGUUUUGCAAAAUCCCAAAACUAGUGGAUUUUUUAUGCAAAAAGGCCAAAUUUUAUUGGAUGUUUAAUAUAUAAAGCCCUCAAGGCGGUGGCGCUCAAGGCAACGGUGGCGGCAGCACUCUAGGUGGAGGUGGAGGUGACGGCGACGAGGAGGGAGCUGCCGAAGAAGGGUCGGUUGGUGGAGGUGGUGGUCGCUACUGGCCUACUGCUGCAUACCCUCCUCCUAGUCGGCCCGCUUCCCCGUUGGCACCACCCUCGGCCCCUCCUUGCUUGCUUUCGAAAUCUCCCUUGUCGUUGCCUACCUCAAUCCCAACCCCAACACCAACGUCAACAACAUCAACAUCACUGACCCGAUGCCACGCCUACGCCUCCACUUUGGGCGAUGGCGUCGGCGUUGUGCUCGCCGGAGAGCAACGGAUGCGAAUUACAGCAAUGGUACCAUCAUACCAGCGAAGGCGGAGGCGGAGGCGGAGGCGAAGGCGAAGGCGGAGAGUCGGAGAGAAAAAAAGAGCAUAAAAAAAAAAAGAGAGAGAAAAGAGAAUAAAGGUAUUUUGAUCAAUAUCCUGAAAAUUCGAACUGAAUCUGCAAAAUCCAAAAUAAUGGUCUAGUUUUGUAAAAGCUGAAAACUUGUAGAUUUUUUAUGCAAAUUGGCCAAUAUUAAAAGUUAAAAAUAUUAAUCAAAUAAUUAUUUUUUAGAAAAUUCUAUACAUUACAUUACAAUACAGCAGAAGAUCCAUUCCAGAUACAAAAAAAAUGAUAGUCGUGAUGUGGAACAGUUAUAUUUUAAAUUACCAAAAUAUUAAAAAAAAAUAAAUAUUGUGAAAAAUAACUAAUAUUAUUUUUCCGUCGCAUUGCACGGGCCCUUAGCGAGUAGUCAAUAUAAACCUAUGAAUCGGCAACCCUAACGGAGCCCUCCCUGCUUUUCGCGCUCUCCACCCUCGCGUACGACGCCCGCUCCCGCCCCCCUUUCUUCCUCUUUGUCUUUGCUGGGAUGGUCCGCUCUGACCUUUUCGUCCUCUCCGCCCUCACUGCGGUGGUCGCCGUUAUCCCUCGGGAACGCAGCCGCUUUUUCCGUACGGCGCAGCGUUCCCCCCCUCCCCGCCCCCUCCGCUUUCUCUUCGUCCUCUCUGCGUAGACGCGACGCCGUGCGGUAUGGCGCCUCCCCUUCUUCUGUCGUCCGUCUGCCCUGUCCCGUCUGACUCUCCGUACAAACGGGGGGUUGGCAUUGUGCCGUCAGCGGUGUGGGUCUUUUCCUCCGCCGCACGUGUUCAGCUGUCCAGUCCGGCAUGGCUCCUCCCUGUGGUUUGUGGUCAACAGGCAUUAAUCAAGGUAUAUAUCAUGGCCUUCUUUUUUCCCCUAUCCUGUUGUCCUCCGCGAUCGCAGCCCACCUCCCGUAGGGCAUGGCGCUCGCACGCUCUCUCUCUCUCUCUCCCCCUCCUGUGUAUGGUUUCCUGUAGGGCUUCCAUGCGGCUGCUCAUCUUUGUCCCUCUGUGCUCUCUCUCCCUGAUUUAUCCUCUCUCACUGUGCUCUGCUUGCUUUUCCUCUGUCUGGUUAUUAUAAAUACUAAAGGGCUGGUGUUUUUUUUGUCUGCACAUUUCUACUUCGCCCUAAUUUUGAACCCCCUACUUUUGGAACGUUGUUGCUCUGUCGUUCUUGCCCUGUGGUGCUUUUGAGCGUUGCAGCUGAUCGAUAGGUAAAAAUAAGCAUUCGGAUGCUUCCUGAUUUCCCUCCCCCCUUCCAUUUUUUUGCCCUCUUAUACUUACUCUUAGACUUUUUCCCCUACAUGUUGGUGUGUUUGAUUUUGUGCGGGUCUGCAUACCUGUAUAACUGAUGGCUCUACUAUACACUAAAUAAUGUUUCGCUCGCUGUGAAAGCCCUACUUAUAGCUCUCAGUUUGGUACCAAACUCUAACCAGUGCAUAGCUAAUGUGGUUUAAAUACGCAUAUCUGGUUUGAAUUUUCUAAUGAGUAGUUGUCCAAUUUAAGAGAUGUAAUUAGCGUCAGAUGCUUUGGUUUUUGAGUUAUUGGAUUGGUUUGUCCUGAUUGGUUUGGUAACGGAUGCAGUUUUUAUGUUGUUUUGUUCUAAAAUUGAUCUAGGAUACUCUUUAGGAUUCUUAAUCACUAUUUAGGAUAUUGUAAUUAUAAUUGGUUGUGUUUGACUAGAAAUUUUUUAGCCCCUUUCAUCUAUUAACUAUUGAUCAUGAAGUGCAAUUUUACUUAACAUGAUAACUUGACUGUUCACAUUUGUUAAUAGUUUACUUAACAAAUGUCCAUCGUUGCUGUUAUACGCAGAUUUGGUUUGAAUUUCCUAAUGAGUAGUUGUCCAAUUUAAGAGAUGUAGUUGGCAUUAGAUGCUUUGGUUUUUGAGUUAUUGGGUUGGUUUGUGCUGAUUGGUUUGGUAAAGGAUGCAGUUUUUAUGUUGUUUGGUUCUAAAAUUGAUCUAGGGUACUCUUUAGGGUUCUUAAUCACUGUUUAGAGACACUAAUUAUAAUUGGUUGUGUUUGAUUAGAAAUUUUUAAGUGUUUGGGUUGGUUCGGCGUACAUGAUUUGGUAAAGGCGAGAAUUAUUUUUUAAAGAACUUUCUUUAAGGUUUUGCUUGGUUUCCAAAUUUUCCACAUGUGCCUACAUUUUUUUUAGCUUUAGAUUUCAGAUUUUUGCUGCAUUAAUUUGCUUCCAGAAAAUUGGAACAGGUCUCUUCUAGCAUUUUUCUUGCUGUUGUGUUAUCUUUUUUCCUUUCUUUUUUAUUUUUUUGGGAGGCUGUGAUGAUAUAAAAAAAAAGAGACAUGAGAUUUGGAUGGUCUGGUUUCUAGGCAACCAACUCUUGAUUUUCAUUGUAUCCUCUACAACCUAUAUCUUAAGGUUUUUCUCUAAUUGUAUGGUCUGGACUUCCUUUGAGGUUUUGUUUUUGUUCUCUUUUAUAUUGUUGUUUACAUCUAUGAAGUUUUUUUGCACCUAGAUACAUUCUAUAUCUAAUAAAUUAUUUAGACAUAGAUUAGGCAUGUGAUAAGCUACACCUAGCUGUAUCAAUUAAAUUUUGUAUCAUGUUGUUUUUAGAAAAUCAGUGCAUUUGCAUAUCCAUAUAUAUAUAUAUACAUAUAUAUAUAUAUAUAUAUAUAUAUAUAUAUAUAUACAUAUAUAUAUAUACAUAUACAUAUAUAUAUAUACAUAUACAUAUAUAUAUAUACAUAUACAUAUAUAUAUAUAUAUAUACAUAUAUAUAUAUACAUAUAUAUAUAUAUAUAUAUACAUAUAUAUAUACUGUCCAUAUAUGAAAAAAAUCAGGUUUUGACUGCCUACUUUCUAGGCAACCACCUCUUAGUGUUCCUUGUCCCUUCCUCAGCCUAUAUCUUAAGGUUUGGUGGAAAUAAUAUCUGAGCCUCCCUACGUUUUAUAUGUUCUCUGUAUUUUUUUAUAUUGCCUAUGUUUUUAUUGUUGCCUUUGUUUUUAUUGUUGUAUAUAUAUAUAUGUAUAUAUGUGUGUAUGUAUAUAUGUGUGUGUGUGUGUGCGCGCGCGCGCAUGUGUGUGUGAACUAUGAAAAAAACUGGGUAGAUCUAACCCCUUAUUUCUAAAUUACUAAAAGUAUAUAUGUGUGUGUGUGUGUGCGCGCGCGCGCAUGUGUGUGUGAACUAUGAAAAAAACUGGGUAGAUCUAACCCCUUAUUUCUAAAUUACUAAAAGUAUAUAUGUGUGUGUGUGUGUGCGCGCGCGCGCAUGUGUGUGUGAACUAUGAAAAAAACUGGGUAGAUCUAACCCCUUAUUUCUAAAUUACUAAAAGUAUAUAUGUGUGUGUGUGUAUAUAUAUCUAUAUGUAUAUAUGAACUAUGGAAAAAAGUUACUAGAUCAAAUUCUGUAUUUGUAGAUUAGUAAAAGCAUAUAUGUUGCUUCACUGUCUCUUCAUUUGCACAUUGAAUCUUUUUCGAAGUCUCCAGUAUAGGAUACAUUCUACACUUGAUCUCAGGUAGGAGGGGGCACAUAUGAUGAGGGGGUGGAUGCCGACCAAUAUACACUUCUUGUUCAACAUGAUUUUUUAACUUCUUUAUCCUCUACUUGCACAUCUACAAAAUCUGUAAACUGUUGAGGUUUUGAGCUAGAUUUUUUUUUGAGCUAUUUGGUAUUUUGAUAUUCCAGUUUUAGCUCUGCUCGAGUUUUUGCUUAUAUGUAUGUGUAUAAUGCAUAUAUGCUUUCCUUUAUUUCUUACGAUAAUUUUUUUGGGAAGUUUGUUUGCAGCUUUAUUUGGUUUUAGAAUUUGACUCUAAACAGGUUUUUACAUAAUUCUGCUGCAUUAUCCCUAAAAAGUAUGAUCAAUUGAACAAAGUAAAAGAAAUAAGGUAAUGUGGUAUUGCAAAUAUUCGCUAAUUGAAUAAUUCGAAGUAGCCAUUAGGUUUCAGUUUGCUAUUUAGGUUUCGAUUUUUCAAAAAGAGGGUUGGUUUGUAUAAGGAACACUGAAGUUUAUGAGCUGAAGUUUUUAUGAAAAAUGUCAUGAGGAACACUGUAGUUUUCUUACACUGAAGUUAUAUUCUCAUGAUUAUAGAAGGCUGAAAAUUGGUAGAGAAGGCUGGAAAUUGAUUUAAUAUAAUGAUUGUGGUUGCCUCUACACUUACAUAAGCUAAAUUUGAGAAGGCUGGGAAUUUGGAGAGAUUUUUUGCAAAUAUUUGCCUGCUACUGUCUUCUCUAGUUUUGCCUACUAUUGGCUUUGGGGCAGUGAUAAUAGAAAAAAAAUGAGCUACGAGUUUUGGAUGGUCCAAUUUCUAGGCAACUCCUGUAACUUUUCGGGUCUUUAUAUCACUAUUUCUAUGUUUCCUAAAUCUCAAUGCCUUUCACUAGCUUUUGUCUUUGAUAUGUUCUAUUUUUUACCUUCUAAAAAAACAGGUUAGUUCCCGAAUGCCUAUCCUGUAACUAUUAUUUUUGCUUUUUCUCCGCCUCUGCUACGAACGUUGUUUUCUCCUGCAGCUUUGUUAGUUUUUUGCAGCUUUGCUUUAGUGAACCUCCUUUAAUCAGCUUAAACAAGUUUUAAUGGAUUUUCAUCAGUUUAGAUUGGCAUUGUUUAGGGCUUGGAUUUAUUUUAGAAUAUGGCUCUAAUUGCAUUUUUACUUAUAUGCUCUACGACGUUACCUAUAAGAACUUUCUUGAAGGUUUUUCUUGGUUUCACAGAUGUGCACAUGUGUCUACAUUAAUUUGUUUGGUUUUCAAGCAUAUUGCACUGUUUUUUUCCCUCUUUUGGAACUUUCUUUAAGGUUUUGUUUGGUUCAGAAAAUCCCAACAUGUAAAGGCUAUUCAAUAUUUACUUUUGCCUCAAAAGAACCAAAACUGAUUCAAUCAGUUUGCAUACUUUGUCACUAGAGAAAAAAGGAGUUAAUAUCAUGAACAUUUCUUAAUACGCUUGAUGUUUUGGUACCGGGCGGUGAUGUAAUUAUAAAUGCUAUGACACUUGCUUGCUUUAGAAACUGAUGUGCAUGCUCUUUGUUGCUUGUCACUUUCCGCUACUAAUAAUUUGUGUGCUCAUCAAUAGUACAGUUACUGGCGAUGAAAACUUGAAUGCUGCGGUGAUGAUGACAGUUUCUAUUAAUGUUUGAAGGAUGGCAUGACUUGCAAAAGUUGUGCAACCCCACGUUAAUUGGAAACCAAAUGAGCCAUACUACUAACGGCAUUCCAUUUUGAUCAUCCAUUGAAAUGUUUGCUACUAAGGUUUAUUUUUUUACACUGCUUAAGGGUUCUCGAAAUACCUUUGUUGUGCUUGUUCUGGUAACAUCUGCAAUUUGCGGUUGGAGUUUUGAAUUCGUUAGAGCAUUGAAAUUCAUGUAUUUUAUGGAUUGUGAAUUUAUGAAUUGAUACCACUGUCUAAUUAUAUGGGUAAUGAAUGAGCUAUGAUGAGAUAGAAAUAUAUCAAGCAAGUUUGACGGCACAACAACAAAUCUGGUUUCUGUCUAUAUCGUCUCAACUCUAUCUUUUGUUCUUGCAAAAUUACCUAUCAGCAAGCGGAUAAAAAAGUAUUCUUCUGCUUAACUAUUUGACCAUAUUACUUUACAAAAUUUCAAAUUCACAAAAUUGAUACAUUUUCAAUUAGUGCACUGUAAUAAAUUACUGUUGUAUUAACUUCCCGCCGCAACGCACAUGCGCAGAACAUGCAACUACAUGAAACAGACAAAACAAAGAUAAGCAGCAGAGGUUAGUCUAAUAAUUACUUAGUUGUAGGAUCAAAAUGGAGUGUCGUUAGUAGUAUGGCUCAUUUGAUUUCCAAUUAAUGUGGGGUUGCACAACUUUUGCAAGCUAUGCCAUCCUUCAAACAUUAAUAGAAACCGUCAUCAUCGCCGGCACCGAAUUCACAUAAAGCUUGUUCAAGCAGCAUUCAAGUUCUCAUCUCCGGUCACUAUACUACAUAUCAGCACUCAAAUUAGUAGUAGCGAAAAGUGACAGGAAACAAAGAGCAUGCAACAACAUAAAAUAGAGGCGACAAAGAUCUAGUCACAGGAUCGAAAUGCAACGUCAUUAGUCUACAGCUCAUUUAGCUCUAAUGCAAUAGGCAAGCAACAACAGUCUGCACCAACAACACGCCACACCUUUACAUGUUGGGACUUUCCGAAACCAAACAAAACCUUAAAGAAAGUUCCAAAAGACAGAUAAAAAAUAGCAAUAUACUUGAAGACCAAACAAAUGUAGACACACGUGCACAUUUGCGAAACCAAGCAAAAUCUUCAAGAAAGUUCUUAUAGGUAACGUCGUAGAGCAUAUAAGUAAAAAUACCACACACAUACAUAUACACACACACAUUGAAUGCAAAGAGGGGUAUUUAAAAUCUUGUAUUCAAUUCUUUGAUGCAACUAAGAAAUGAACACAAACAUAAGUAUGAAACUUAUAAAAAUGCAUCAGAAAUAAAGGGAAGUACCUAAUUAGGUACUUGGACUGAAAAUUACAAAUAAUGUAACUAAGUCAUGAGAGCAUGGACAUAAAAGGAGAACUGGUAGAGAUUUACAAAGUUGACUGAACACGUAGUAAUAAUACAUAUAUACAUACAUGUAAAGCUGCACACAAACACACACACACACACAUAAAGCUUCCAAAUGAAUUACUACCUAUACAUAUACCAAUGGUACAAAUGAAUUACAAUGCAGUUGUGACUUCAUUAGGCAUUAAAAGGUUGUUAAGAUAAGCAUGUUAUGAAAAAAGAACUGCUUCAUGUAAAUUUGUGCAUGAAGUGACAAUGUAGGAGUCGAUUUUGAGUAAAACCUGUACAUAUACCAUUAGUAAUUACAAAGUUGAGCAAUUUACAAAUUUGAGCACUUUACGUAUACUUGUACAUACACCAAUGGUACAAAUGAAUUACAAUGCAGUUGUGACUUCAUUAGUCGAUAAAAGGUUGCUAAGAUAAACAUGUUAUGGAAAAAGCACUGCUCCAUGUAAAUUUGUGCAUGAAGUGACAAUGUAGAAGUCAAUUUUGAGCAAAACCUGUACAUAUACCAUUAGUAAUUACAAAGUUGAGCAAUUUACAAAUUUGAGUACACUAUGUAUACUUGUACAUACACCAAUGGUACAAAUGAAUUACAAUGCAGUUGUGACUUCAUUAGGCGAUAAAAGGUUGUUAAGAUCAAUAUGUUCUGGAAAAAGGACUGUUCCAUAUAAAUUUGUGCAUGAAGUGACAAUGUAGAGUCAAUUUUGAGCAAAAUCUGUACAUAUACCAUUAGUAAUUACAAAGUUGAGUGAUUUACAAAUUUAAGCACUCUACAUAUACCUGUACAUACACCAAUGGUAUACAAUGCAGGAGCGAAAAUGCAGAAAUGAAAUUGAGCAAAACCUGUACAUAUACCAUUAUUAAUUACAAAGUUGAACAAUUUACAAAUUUGAGCACUUUACAUAUACCAUUGUUAGAUAUAAUCCAAUAUAAACAAUUACAUAUAAUUCAAUAUUAAUAAACAGCUUAAUAGGUUUCUCUAAGUAUCACUGGCCUAGGCAGCGAAAAAAUAAAGAAGCUAAUAUUUUAAACAACUGAGGAAUGACAAUAGGAAAACUAUAAUCUAAGGCAUUUAGUCCGAGCUGAAUAUUGGUAAGGAAUUAGAACUAUCUCUAUCAUGAGGAGGAAAUUUAAUACUACUCCAACAAUGUAACGACCUAGCCCACUAGCAACAAUAACUCGUUGGGCCCAACCACCCGCCCAAAAUGCUUAAGCUCAGUUAUUAUUACUAGUGUUUAAGUCUCUUAUAAACCUAAUGACAACCCCAUUCCCCUCCUAUGGGGAACUAUUGGGGUGUCACAGACUCCCCCCCGUUAAGGCCCUGACGUCCUCGUCAGUCCAAUCACACACACAGUCCAAAAUCACCAGAUGAUUUGAGACUCGUCUAGCUAGCCUUCCAUCUAGACCUUGGCUCAGCCGAGACUCGCCACACAUUUCCGGCUGGUGAAUCGGCUCUGAUACCAAAUGUAACGACCCAGCCCACUAGCAACAAUAACUCGUUGGGACCAACCACCGGCCCAAAAUGCUUAAGCCCAGUUAUUACUACUAGUGUCUAAGUUUCUUAUAAACCCAAUGACAAUCCUAUUCCCAUCCGAUGUGGGAAUAUUGGGGUGUCACAAACAAACCUAGAAUCAAGGUAACAGCACCAUAGUUUUGGUUAAUAUACCUCACAACAUCACAAAACAUAUAUAUUACUGUAUACUAUAUGACUAAGUAAUUUUUUAAACCCAAACAACACCUUACCAUAUAUGCAACACCAAUAGAGAAGAACACACAAUUCUAAUUGUCUUUCUACUGUGCAGAACAUGCAACUACAUGAAACAGACAAGACAAAAAUAAGCAGCAGAGGUUAGUCCAAUAAUUACUUAGUUGUAGGAUCAAAAUGGGAUGCCGUUAGUAGUAUGGCUCAUUUGGUUUCCAAUUAAUGUAGGGUUGCACAACUUUUGCAAGCUAUGCCAUCCUUCAAACAUUAAUAGAAACCGUCAUCAUCGCCGGCACCGUAUUCACAUAAAGUUUGUUCAAGCAGCAUUCAAGUUCUCAUCACCAGUCACUGUACUAUUUAUCAGCACUCAAAUUAGUAGUAUCGGAAAGUGACAGGAAACAAACAGCAUGCAACUACAUAAAAUAGAGCUGACAAAGAUCUAGUCACAGGAUCAAAAUGCAACGCCCUUAGUACUACAGCUCAUUUGGAUCUAAUGUAACAGGCAAGCAACAACAGUCAGCACCAACAACACGCCACACCUUUACAUGUUGGGACUUCCCGAAACCAAACAAAAUCUUAAAGAAAGUUCCAAAAGACGGAAAAAAAUUGCAAUAUACUUGAAAACCAAACAAAUGUAGACACACGUGCACAUUUGCGAAACCAAGCAAAAUCUUCAAGAAAGUUCUUAUAGGUAACGUCGUAGAGCAUAUAAGUAAAAAUACCACACACAUACAUAUAUAUACACACACAUUGUAUGCAAAGAGCGGGGUAUUUAAAAUCUUGUAUUCAUUUCUUUGAAGCAACUAAGAAAUGAACACAAACAUAAGUAUGGCACUUAUACAAAUGCAUCUGAAAUAAAGGGAAGUACCUAAUUAGGUACUUGGAGUUAAAAAUUACAGAUAAUGUAACUAAGUCUUGGGAGCAUGGACAUAAAAGGAGAACCGGCAGAGAUUUACAAAGUUGACCAAGAACAUGUAGUAACAAUACAUAUAUAUAUAUACAUGUACAGAUGCAGACAAACACACACGCGCACAUAAAGCUUCCAAAUGAAUUACUACCUGUACAUACACCAAUGGUACAAAUGAAUUACAAUGCAGUUGUGACUUCAGUAGGCGGUAAAAGGUUGUUAAGAUAAACAUGUUAUGGAAAAAUGACUGCUCCAUAUAAAUUUGUGCAUGAAGUGACAAUGUAGGAGUCAAUUUUGAGCAAAACCUGUACAUAUACCUUUAGUAAUUACAAAGUUGAGUAAUUUACAGAUUUGAGCACUUUAUAUGUCACGCCCCGGGACCGAUACCAAUUUGGGCCGGCCCGAGCACGUCAAACAGACGCCAAACGGACAGAGUUUCCCCUAUCCGCCCAAGGCUCAUCACACGUACAAUUUAAAAUAAGAAGUGCACUAGCGGAAACAUACAAAUACGGCUUACACAAGGGUAAGCAAUAGCCACGAGUGAAAGAAAGGAAUUUAAACAUCUACACAAGUAAUAUGAUUCUUUUUAGAUCACAUACAUUGCAUAUAACUAACUUGUACAUCAUAAAGUUUUUACAUUCUUUCAUCAUUUCUUUUACAUCACAUUUACCUCAAAAUGAACAUUGCAUCCUUUUCUUUACAUCACUAGUCAUCAAAUGCAAAAGAUGAACAUAGGGUACUCUACUAAUAAAAUGUAAACCCAACUCAACUCUGGUGGCCUUUGUCUAAGGCGCGAUAUCUUUACCUCGGUCGCUCGCCGGCUCGCUCGGUCCCGGCUCUGUGGAAAUAGUGGGGUGAGAACUACAACAAAGUUCCCAGUGGAUUCGGCCUCAACAUCACCGACUUUCCCACUAGGACUAACUCAGGCAUAAUAGAAAGGAAAAGCUGUAUAUUGUAACCAAUCUAUAUCAUGAUGCUAAUAUGCCUGAACAAUAAGCAGGAAAUAUGCUCAACAUUAAUAUAUGCAAAUUAUGCAAAUUCUUUUGUUCUUUACACUUUACACUUUGUCUUUGUUCUUUAUUCUUUGCUCUUUGUUCUUUGUUCUUUGCUCUUUGUUCUUUAAUCUCAAGGCUAAUCCAGGGGGUUCGCCACAUUAACUUGCUUCACAUUAAGUCCAUCAUCGCAGGAACUCACCCGCUAGGACCGUCCUCGGGUUUACUCCAACCCGUGAUGCAAAACUCCGGAGCACAUCGCUCGAGGGGGAGCGACCGCCCUCGAGCACGGAACUCAUAACAAGUAUGAUCGAAUCCUUAACUCAAAGGAUUGUAUGUUCAAUCUUGACUUUACACUAACUCUAGUGUUCUUUACAUCACUUUAUGUUGCUACUCUAGCAAUCAUUGUUCUUUACCUUUCUUUGCUUUUGCUAACUCUAGCAUUCAUGUUCUUUACAUUUCUUUGCUUUUGCUAACUCUAGCAUUCAUGUUCUUUACAUUUCCUUUACUUUUGGCUAUCUUUAGCAUUCACGUUCUCUACGUCCCAUUUUGCUUUCACUUUAGUCAUGAUCAUUAUUCUUUACAUCACAUUGAUUCUUUGCCUCACACUAGCUCUAGUGUCACUUUACUUUAUAUUAUCAAAUGCCACUCUAUCUAUGUCUCAUUGUGUCACUCGGUUCUUUCGCCUCACCUUGGUUCUCACACUUUCUCUCAUGCAUACAUAUAUAGGGUUUUUGACAUUCAUAAGGUUCUCAACCAUCACAUUAUGCAAGUUGUGCUCACAAUCAUGCAACAUCACAUCUUUAUCAUUACUUUACCCUAAAAUGCAUGCAACAAUAUAUAUACAUAUGCUCAAUUGAAUGACACAUUAGGCAUAGAGGGAACUUCAACAAGUUUGAAAAGCACCACCCACCUCGUAGGUUCUCAAAGGUGCUCCGAUGAUUUUCUCAUGAUUCUUAGACCCUUCGUUCUUUACCUGCGGCAAAACGAAGCCCUAUUAGGCCAUUUUGCCCACAACUCUCUAUAGACUUUUCGUAACGUCAAUCCGAGCGCACCAACGCGUCGGAAAUACCCCCAAUUAGGUUUCUAGAGGGUCAAUUGCACUUUAGAAACAUCAUGAGCAAAAGCCCCAAUUUGGUGCCCUAGCUCCAAUACUCAUGUCAAACCUAGGGUUUGAUCUCAUUGGGAAGCAAAAGUAGCUUCAUUAUACUCUAAAGAGUCCAUCUAAACCAUUCUUAGCUUUACUAAAACCCUAUUUUGGGUUUCACCAUGAGAGGAGGUUGAAGCUUGCAUCUCAAGCUUCACCAUGGUUUUGAUCUCUAAAGAAGCAAAAAGAAAGCUUCAAAGACCCUAGAGAUUAUAUAAAAAUCAUUUUUACACUAAUCCAAACCCUAGUUUGGAAUUUAACAUGAGAAGGGGCAAAGCUUACCUCUAAGCUUGCUCCUUUCUUGCACUAGAGAGGAAGAAGAUGAAGUUGCUUCACUCCAAUAGCUUCUUCUCCACUUUCUUCUUCUUCUUUUCCUUCCUUUCCUUGUCUUCUUCUUCUCCUUCUUUGUCUUCUAGAGAAAGAAAGAGAGAUGAGAGUGUGAAAGGGAGUGAAAUGAGAGAAUAGCCCUCAUAUCCCUCAUACUAUACUCUAUAGGUUGCAAAAUUGCGGCUAAACCCCUCAACUUUCGCUUUAAUACACUGCCCGGACUGGGCAGAUUUCGUGCUCGGGGACCAGUCUCCCCGACUUGGGACCGGUCCCAAACAGCUCUCCCUGCAGCUGCGCAGGGCUUUCCGCGAUGCAUCCGGUCUCUCCUUGGGGGACCGGUCUCUCGGGGACCGGUCUCUCCCCGCAGGGACCGGUUCCCAAGAGCUACCCUUCUGGAACUUAGCCAAAUUUUUGGCUGUCUCAUUUCUUGCGCGUUCGAGGACCGGUCUCUCCCACCGGGGACCGGUCUCUCCAGCAGGGACCGGUCCCCGAGAGCCCAAAAACUGCAGUUUGCAGAUUUUGAUUCUUAGCUCUCGAAAACCUUCCACAACUCGCUUUUACUCGUUUUAACACCUUCGGACUUUCCGAAGUGUACCAUCCUCGCACUUUGGUCAAUUUGACUAAAGUUCGAUAUUUUUUUUCCGAAUUUUUGGUAUAUUAUAUUAUAUAUACCUGUACAUACACCAAUGGUACAAAUGAAUUACAAUGCAGUUCUGACUUCAUUAGACAGUAAAAGAUUGUUAAGAUAAACAUGUUAUGCAAAAAGGACUGCUCCAUGUAAAUUUGUACAUGAAGUGACAAUAUAGGAGUCAAUUUUGAGCAAAACCUGUACAUAUACCAUUAAUAAUUACAAAGUUAAGCAAUUUACAGAUUUGAGCACUUUACAUAUAACUGUACAUACACAAAUGGUAUACAAUGCAGGAGUGAAAAUGCAAGAAUGAAAUUGAGCAAAACCUGUACAUAUACCAUUAUUAAUUACAAAGUUGAGCAAUUUACAAAUUUGAGCACUUUACAUGUACCAUUGUUACCCUAUAAUUGAGCAUAAAGUAAAAGGGCUUAUGUAAAUAACAAAAAACUUUAUAUUAGAAUAUUAUAUUACUUAACUAUUUUGGAAAGAAACAUAAAAAUGUUAUCUUUUUGAAAGACAAUAAAUACGCACCACACACAAACAGCUCCUUAAGUAAUUACAAUGUAGUUGCAACUUCAUUAGGCAGCACAAGGUUAGAUCCGUAUGAACGGUCUGGGGCCGGGUUACAGCACGAUACGAAUAUAAUAGCACACAUAUCGGGCCGGCUUGCCCCGAGCCUCCGGACUAUGCUGGGUCGCUCUUCUGUGGCCUGAUGGUCAGACACAACACGGCCUGAAACGAGCCUAGGCGUGCCGAGCCCACUUGGGCUGUGCCAGCCAGGCCAGCACGGCCCGAACCCUUGGGCCUUAGGGAAUGAGCUCCACUACUACAGAUACAGGAUUUAGUGGCGACAAAUGUCGCCACCAUAGCCAAAAUUGUCGCCACGAAAAACGUUUUGGCGGCGACAAUUCGUCGCCGCAUGCCGCCGCCUAAAACCCCGUCGGUAAAACUAUUUGGUGGCGACAAAUUGUCGCCGCUAAAAGUUAGAUAAUUAGCGGCGACAUGCUGUCGCCGCUAAAAGUUAGAUAAUUAGUGGCGGCAUGUUAUCGUCGUGAAAACCCUAAACCGGGACCGAAGUAUUUGGUGGCAACAAUUUGUCGCGGCGAAAAGUUAGAUAAUUAGUGGCGGCGUGCUGGUGCCAUGAAAACCCUAAAUAGUUUUAUGGUGGCGACAAUAAUUUGCUAAAAAAUAACCUAUAAUUAUAAAAAAAUUUUAUUCUUAAAUUUUAACCUUUAAAAGAAAAGCCAAUCAGAGAUGGAGUGUUCAACAGCCAGGUUUUUGCAAAUAAUGAAUUUCUUACCUUUCUCUAAGUUCCAAAAUAAAUACUCGUUUCAAGAGACGAUAUGGAAUGUUCUCAGAUGAUAAAGUUUAGUGCAUUAAGUCUGCUCAUUCUACUGCUUCCUAAAUGAAAGAGGAUUGCAAAGCACCUGGCUCCAUAUUACAAAAAUUUUUGUAGGACAAACCAUGCACCACGGCCCAAGGGAAAAAGCAUUACUUUGAAACUAACAAACACCUCACAAUUUCCCAAAAAUGCAUCUAAAAUGCAAACAUACAUUACGGAACCAAAAGCUCAUACAGAAUUGAUCUAUAAAAUCAUAUUACAAGAACACCUUCUGACUUUGCAAGAAUAUUAAUUCAUAAUACUUUGACAAGUCAACAAGCGCAUAAAGAAUUAGUUGGCAUCUAUGAGAUUAUUAGCAGCUAAUGUAAAAUAGCAAAAUAGGCAUUAAUAUUAUAAAUUAAGCUUUUGCAGAAUUUUCUACAAUACAAUCUUCGAAAUAAUUAAGCAAAGUGGACAGUCCAUUAUAUUUAUGGCACUACUUCCUGCAGCCAAUGACGCAUAAAAAGGGAGUUUAGUUAUUUAGUUGAGCCAAUCCAAACAUUUAAUACACAUCAAGUUAAAUGAACUGAAUUUUCAUCAAGGACAUACUCUGUAACUUCUUGUUCCAAAGCUCCUGAACCUUCAUCAGUUGAUCUUCUACUUUGUUCUAGAAUAAUAAAGCAAAGGCCUUUGAAAUUUUUGAAAGAAUGCCUGAAUGAAAAAGAAAUCACUUAACAAAUGCCAUUUGAGAUUUCAGGGAAGUCCACGCUACCUUGCAUAUCCAAGAUAUCGCUGAAAGUUUCUGCAGACCCUCCUCCAAUGUCAUAACUGAAGUUUGCUGCAAGACAGUGCAGGCAUCCCAGAAUCCACCUUCUUGUUCUAUGGAUGAUAGCAGGAUAUCCAAUUCUUUUGCCAUAUCAUUAACCUGAUCAGGCCAAAUGUAAUAGUUAUUUCCAUAUCGUUGAUGAGAAAACAUCUCGCCUACUAAGCAAAAAGAAAAACAAGUAUGGACUAUUUUUUACCCAAAUUCCAUCAGAAUAGUUGAAAUUUUGCACCUUCAAAGUUCAAGCCUCAAGAGCAAUAACAAGUAGAGUUGAAAGAGUGUCAGGAAUCAGGAUAUGGGGCUUAUCGGAGAGAGCACACAGGAUAUCUAUUAACAUAAGUACACAUUAGUCUAUAGAAAGGUAAGGAGAGAAAGAGCAUGUGGUCUAUCUGGUAACACAGAGUAAGCGCAGCAAGUUUAAUCACUUUUAUGAUCCAUAAAACCAAAAUCUUCUAAACAUGAAGUAUUAUUUCAGUCAACAUAUAUCCUCACUUAUCAAAGCCAAACUGGAAAAUGGUAUAUAUUACAUGAUCUGUUACUAACUAUUUAGGAAGGUUAAAAGAAGAGCCAAUCAGAGAAGCCAGGCCAUAUUAAAAACAUUAACAUAAAUAAACCUUAAUUAAAAUCAACUCAUAAUCUAUAAGUUUGCACAAAAUCUUCAUAAGAGAAACCACUUCUGGUGGUCCUGAAGCUAUAGCCAUCAGAGUACCAAAAUGUUCGUCAUAACAACAUCUUUCGACAAGUUCGAAAACUGAAAACAGCAUAACAAGGAACUAAUAAGUGUUGGUUAAAUAUGCGAAGUCAACAACUGAUAUACUGCUUACUUUUCCCAAUUUUCUAUCUUCUACUAUGUCCAGUGCUACAUAUUUCACAUUCAACCUAUGCAUAAAUAAACUCUAUAAAUUCUUAAUGCACUGCCAAAAUUAAAACAAAUUUAGGUUCUUGAACCCACCUCAUUUUGAUUUCCACAAUAUACCAACCAUAGUUUCCUCUUUAAAUGUUUCCAUUCAUCUUGCACUUGCUUACAUGUUAAAACAAAUCUCAAUCCCUCUCCAUGUGGUAUGUUUUCAAAUGACUCAUCUAAACUCUUCUUUAACAACUAAACCUUUUUACACUCUUUUCUACUUACAGUAUCAGACAAUACUUUUAGCAUCUUAACUAGAAGAGAAGGACAUAUCAGGAUUACUUGAAAAAUUUAACUACUAGUUUACCAGUAAGUGAAGAAUUAAAAAGCUGAACAAAAAGGCCCUUUACCUAACUCAUCAGAGUUUUUCAAAGUACUUGCUUGCAACACAUCAGUUGGUUCACUUGAUGGCUUACUUCCCAAAUGUAUACCCUUCUCUACAUAGCAAAGCAUGCAAAAUUGCAUCAGCUACAGUUUCUAUGCUUUCUUUCCAAGUUUAAAUAUUUUCAAAAGCAGAAGAUAGUAACUAUUACUACCAGCACAGGGAGUUAUUGGAGCAAAGAGAUCAUUGGAGUACAAAACAAAAGGCAACAACAAGAGCUAAUUCAAUUCUGAGAAGGAUCACACUUGCGUCAGAUAGAUAACAACCUAGGGAUCAAAAGCUAGGACAUCUCAAAUAUCAAAAACGUAUGAAAUUAUGAAAAUGCAUAUUGGUAAAUCCUAAAAGCAGUAUUAUACAUAUGAAAUUAUGAAAAUGCAUAUUGGUAAAUCCUAAAAGCUAGGACAUCUCAAAUAUCAAAAACAUCACUAUAAAGAAACAAGUUACAAAGCAAGGCCUCAACUUGCUAGUCUCUCCUAGAAAAUUAAUGACAAUGAAGUUAGUACCCAGAUACUAUGAUGUCUAGAGAAAUACACCAUGUAUACCUCUGUAGCACACAGAUUUGUAUAUAUCUCCGAUGCAUAAAGGCUGCACAUUUGAGGAUUGGCUUUGUCAUUAUCAAUAUCUACAAUGCCCAUGAUAGCUGAAUCCCCUGCAUCAUUAGAAACCUAUCUUUUAGCUGCAAACCCAAUUGCAUUUCACAUAAAAAUUUACAACAAACAAGGAAAUGCACCACUAGGAUUUAACUUAAAUUCCCCUUCACCGCGAGUUAAAGCACCUUAACCAGCUUCAAAAGUUGCCCCAAAUCACAGUUAUAAGGUGUGUACAAGCACCCAAAACUACAUUAUUACACUUAUGUAAUCACAUAAUUGAGGUUAAAAUCUCACUUAUUUAGAUAGAACUCUCCUGACAUAAGCUGGGUACAAAGAACCCGAAAUCACACUCAACUCUACCAUUAAAGCAUCAAGCUACUAGGUAGUUAGGUUAAUUACCUUAGCAAACCUCCACCCAGCUACCUGCUGUGUUAGAGCUGCGAAACACUUCCCAAACACCUUCUUCACCCUUCUACAAUAGCUCCAAGGUCUCCCAAGACAGCUAGCAUCAAAGAAGGAGAAGAAAAAAUAGGCUAAAACCCUUAAUUCUAGUUAGAGAGAGAAAAACCUAGAGAGAGAGAGAGUGGGAGAGGUGCCAAACCCUUCCCCUGAGCUCCAGUAACUCUCAGGUAACUUCAGGAGUCGAGCUGGCCCCUGUGGAGAUAAGAUCAACAGCCAAAAGACCAAAGUCUCCCUGCUGCCACGCAGCAGUUUACAUUUGGUACCUGAUGUUUCCUGCUACACAAUAACAUACGCCUAUACAGCUAAGACCUAACUUGCAACAUAUCACUUUGAUUAAAAAAUUGAAUGAAUGGCGUCAUGAAGGCAUGAGCAUCUAGCAGUCUAUCUUAAUUUUUACUACUUAUCUCUGUAUUUCAAAUUGAGGUGCUUUACAGCUUUGGCACAUGCACAACAUAUGUAUCUCAAUCGGCACCCCUCAAGAGCAUUAUUGCAUGGUGGCCCUAAGCCACCAGCACACUAUUGUCUCCUUUAAGACUUAAUCUUGCAACUUCUCUUCUCAAGAAUUUGCAAGAAACACCUUUAUGUUCCAAAUUUUUUUAGUUAUUUCAUUAUUUAAUAGCAGGCCUAACUUAAAGUUAAACUUGAACAAGAUCAGAAGAUUUCGUGAACUCAAAAUUUCCAUUGCUGACCUAUGUAUUCUCACUACUUAUAUACAAAAGCCAUCAACAAAUUUUGGCAACCUUCAUGAAAGUGCAAACUAUACAUUCUAUUCUUGGAAAUUUUUUUUCUUUCCACCAAUCCUAUAAAUUUUCGUAUAAAAUUUGUGUCGACAAUUCUAGCCUUAAUUCUACCCAAAAAAAACCGUGGAAUUCAACAAAAAAUAGAAUAAAAAUGGGAGAACAUGAUAGAGAGUUUUGGUUUAAAAUAAUUUAAUCAAUAGACAAAUGAAUGGCAGAUCUUCUUCAAUUAAUGAGCAAGAAAGAAAGCACAAAGCUGCAUUUUUGUUGAAAAUUGAACAUCAUCGAACCAAUGUAUGACAUUGCAAAUGGCCAGUAGACAGAAAAACUAAAUUAGUAAAAAGAGUCACUUUAUGAGAGUUGCCAUGUCCAGUAGACAGGAAAAGAAAAAAUGAAAUGCUAUCUGACAACUUUUUCAAGGGGUAAAAGCAGAACUACAAGAAGAGGUGAUUAAUCACACUUAUACCAAAAAAAAAAGCAGUACAUAUAAAAAGAAAUCGCCAUAAUUUAUUGGGUGAAGUUAACAAUCACAUUACAUGCUAAAAAUACCUUUGAGUGCAAGAAUAGAUGCCAAAAGCUUCACUGUGUCUCCUGAGAACAUCGGCGGAGACUCCUACGAAGGACGACAACUCGUUAAACUCCUCAUUUGCGCCGCCCCCUUCGUGAACGACAUGCCAUAAUUCCCCCCUUAGGUAAUGUAAAGGUAAUGUAACGUCACUAUAUAUUAUUAGUCAACUAUUACAUUAUUUCUGCAUUGAUUAUAAAUUAAUAUUUAGUCAACUAAAUUAUGUUACAGAAUUUGAUUGUAAUAAUUUUAAAAUUUAAGCUAAAGAUUAAAACAAAUUAAAAUUUGCCACGGACUUUAAAGUUUGAAGACCAAAUGCACAAUUUAUGUACCAUUAUUUUUAAGGCCAAACCAUGGCAUCUCGAGCAUCAGAAUUAUGAGGUCGGAGAUUUGAAUCCCUGUUUCAGUAAAGUACGAGAAUCGCUAACUGAUUCAAAAAUCAACGACGCCAAGCAAAAUCAAAACUUCAAAAACAUGCAUAGUGGUCCCGAAACAACCCACAUUGUUCAGAUCAAUUCCGCACUUCCUUUUUUUUUUAAAAAACACUAAUUUAUUUAAGUUAAAGAAGCCAAAGAAAAAAAAAACUCUUAACACAGGAAUUUCAUCAAACAGGUACCAUGCGUGUAUGAGGCGCGCCCCAAACGCCACUGCUCAGCACCCAUAUAUCUCCUUGAGCUUCGCCACGGCCGAUUCGUCGAGCGAGUACUACAAAAAACAAAAGCAGGCACAAAAGAAGUAAAAAAAAAAAAAGGUUGGGGGAAAGAGAUUAGGGUUCGCGUGUAGGUAGGGUUUUGGGGGGGGGGGGGAGGACGGGGACCUUGUUGAGGACCCAGGUGGAGUGGGCGUAGGCGCGGCGGAGGAGGUCGGAGAGGGAGGUGGAGGGAUCGGCGUCGCGGUAGUUGACGAAGUUCUCGCGCGCGUACUUGGCGUAGUACGCGCGCGUCUCCGGGGGCAGGCGCCGCACGAGGCGCCGCACGAGAUCCCGGCCUUGAGCCGGAGCGAGGCGGAGGCGGAGCCCCCAUCUUCGUUGGCGAAGCGAGACCUACGAGGGCGGAGAACGCCGUCGUCCUCCGCGGCGCCGAUGGAUUUGGCGGAGUUGACGACGGGGUUUCGAGGAUGGCGCGGGUGGAGGCGAGGAUUAGAGGCCUCCAUCGUCGCUCGACCAAGGCUAGAGAGCGAAAAAAUUUCGGGGUUUCGAUUGGAAAUUAGGGUUUUAGCACGAUGAAGAGGGAAAGAGAGGAUGAUGAGAGCGUACGAAGAGAGAGAGAGAGAGAGAGAGAGAGGGUGGGCGGAGAGGAGGAGGCGAAAGAGAGAAAUUGAGAGGGAGAUGAAAGAAGAUAACUUUCUGAUCCAAAAAGGCGGAGGGAAUUAAGGGCGGGAUGUCUGGAAAUACUCCGCGCGACAUUUAUUAAAUAUUGGCGGCGACCUAUAUUUGUCGCCACUAUUGUUUAUGUAUUGGCGGCGACAUUUAUUUAUCGCCACCAUUAUUUAUAUAUUAGCGGCGAUAUUUAUUUGUCGCCACCAUUGUUUGUGUAUUGGCGGCAACAUUUAUUUAUCGCCACCAUUGUUUGUGUAUUGGCGGCGACAUUUAUAUGUCGCCACCAUUAUUUGUGUAUUGGCGGCGACAUUUUUAUGUCGCCACCAUAUUUUCUACAUUCGUGGCGACAACUGUUGUCGCCACGAAAAAGUUGCCGCCAAAUUUGCUUUUUCUUGUAGUGCUCCCAUAGAGGAGGACUCUCCUUCCAAGAUCUAACCUUAACCUCGGGAGGAGAGAAAAUCCUAUUUCAUUUUUUUUAAAAAAAAUAAUGCAAAUUUAUUUAUUUUUUACAAAAAUUAAAUAUUUACUAUAUUAUAAUUAUUUUUAUAAAUUUUUAAUGAUUUAAUCAAAUAUUUAUUUAAAUAAAAGUAUUUAUUAUUUAUGUUUUUAAAUUUUAUACUAAUUUUUUAAAAAAAAUUAAAAAAUAAAUACUUUAAGAGGCAUGCCCGAAACACGGCCCGGCACGACCCGUGCCUUCUCAGUCGGCGGCUAGGCAGUUCAGGCCCGGCAUGGCCCGACCCGAAAUUGAAAUCAGGCCCGACCGGCCCCUAGCCCAUUUCUGCCCGGCUAAUGUGGGCCGAGUCGGGCCAGCACGACUAUCACGCCCCGGGGUCCCUUUUGGAUUUAAAAACGCAGCGAAAGUACUAAAAUUUUUUUUAAAAAAAAAAACCUAACCCCAGGGUAUGCCAGAUCCGCCACAAAUACAGGAAAUUCACUGUUCACACGGACAGAGUCUCCCCUGUAUUUGCAUGGCGUCGCACAAGUACAACAAGUAAACCGGAUACAAUCACAACUAAAUGAAUAUAGAGAUAACUAUACAUUCAUACAUUCACCAUUCAUAUCACAGAUUACAUUCAAUGUCUAAACAUAAAUCCACAGAAACCUUUUGAAAACUGUUCCCUACACGGAAACUUUUAUCGUUUAAAAACGCUACCACGAGGGGUAGAAAAUUUUUUAUUUACGAAAACCAUGAAUCCUUUUUAUUACAUCAUAAAGCCAACUGAAAUCUCAGAUAUUCAAAUAAUAUAACAAAACUGAACGAGGAUAAUUGUCUAAGUUAUUUAUUUAAGGAAGCAGGGUAAAGAAAUAACCGACACGGGACGGAGCUCUAUCGUAUGCUAGACACGCUCCUCACCAGUUGUCCUACUCUGACCUGCGACGUCACCUGUAAUGGGAGCGAGGGGUGAGAACAUGUAAACAUGUCUCCCCUCCCAGUGGGUACCGCAAGCCGAAGAGGGCGAGGGGUACUCACUAGUCACGGAGAACAACAAAGGUAUAGAUAGAGGUAAUAUAGUAGCCAUGAUAAACAAGUAACGAGAUGUAUAUAUGUAUAAAACACUGCAGCUACUGUAUGCAUGCGUCAACCGAACGACAGUCUAAAAAUACCCAAUCUGAAAACUGCCCUAUUGGUCCGCAGACCUCAGGCCCAUACCGACUGCCACUCUACCUGUGUAUGACCCAGUCCUGACCGCUGGGCUCACAUGCUGCAUAUAACCCAGUCCUGACCGCUGGGCUCACGGGCAGGCGCAUCAAACCACUUUUUCGAAAAAGAACACCCUCUUGCGGUGGAUCAGACUACUGGUGUUCGUGAAAUGCGUACGAGUCUCGGGCGAUCAAUGCUGAUAUGCUCAAUAGCUAACCGUCGGCAACCAGCCGACAAUCCUGCCCCUCAGGGCACACCGACCAUAUAGGUCAUCAAGUAUCCAACCGACCAAGUAGGUCACGAUAAUACUGGAGUAAACCGACCGAACAGGUCACAAUAUGGAAUAUGAGAACCGACCAACCAGGUCACAGAUAUCACAUGCAGAUAUAUCUACUCUACUCCUACUCAUGAUGCUAAACAUGGAAACAACUGAGUAGAGUAAUACAGGAACAACAUGGGUGCAAGGCUCAAUAUAUGUACUACGCAAUAUAAACAACAAGGGUGAAGGGAACGUCACCGAGCGUGCACCACUGUACCGACUUCGGGUCGAAAUACCCACCUGUACAAAUAUGAAACUGGUCUCUCGAUUGCGAAGUCAGAGCAACUGAACCUACGAAGGGUCCACCGGGUUAGUAUCUAACCCAAGAAUACCAAUUGCUAACAAACCCCCCUAAUGAAACCACAGGGAAUCAAUUUCCCAAAACCGAUUGCCGAACACGCCGGAAGUCCCGAAAACUGCACCGGAACUCCGCCGGAAUCCACGAACUGUCCCGGAAAGCACCGACUCGUGUUACGAGUCACCCGCUGCCACAAAACACCAUUAUUCAUGGUUCUUGGCAGCAAACACAUCGCCUCUAAUCGAAACGAUUGUCGUCGGAUAAUCGUUCCGAUCCGGGUUCCCGAAAGUGUCAAUUUCUACACCGAAACCCACCGUCGCCCACCCGUCGUUUCUGAACCCUCGAAACGACAUGGUGACCAGCCAACAAGGCUCAGCGACACAACAAAUGCUCAUGAGGCACCAUCGGAAAAAUUCCGAACAAAAACUGCGUUCCGUCGGCGGAUUUCGCCGAAAAACGCUUCCGGAAAUCAACAAUUGAUUUCCGGAUGGGCUUGGGGCCUUGGACGAUCAGUCCAGAGGUUACCCCCAGCGCCCACAUGCUGCCUACAGCAGCCACAACCAACAAAAUUGCAUAAAGGCCCUCCCAGAUACAUAAAAUCACAUUAUUUUAUGUGAUUCCGGGGCUUUUAUGGUUCGUCUAUACCAACCAGAGGUCAAUCGGCCAAGCCGAGGCACCUACUGACAGGUUUCGACGUGCCGGAGGCCGUGCUCACCUUUCGGAGCACUUUCGACCACUGAAGCACGCACACGAGUGACACAAAGAUCAGCGGAACAGCGCGCACAGCACUUAAAUAGCGUCGAAUACACAAACCAGGGCAUGUAUGACCCUAACAGAGGUUAGCACAGUGUUCAAAACGAAACCACGAUGAUCGUGCUCACCUCUACAGUCAUCGGGGUGCCUUCGGAUCACCGAAAAGGUGAUCGAAAUCCCUAACAGUGUGCUACAGUAUUAAAAAUAACCAUACCUGGAACUAGGGUUGGUCGACGGCGGCCGGGCGGCGGGCAAUCCGGCCGGGGACGGGUGCAGCCGGUCGAAGGGAUCCGUGGCAGGUGCUGGCCGGCGGCGGGCGGCAACCAGUCGCGCGGCGCAGGAGAUCAAUUCCGCCAAUAGCUCUCGGGUUCAAGGGCUCCCGGCGGCGAGGCGGCGGCCAGAGGAGCUCGAGGCGACGGCGAUCCGUCGACGGUGGCCGAGGGAAAGGCGAUGCGCCCCGCAGCAGGCGGCGGCGACGCACGGUCGGCGUGGGGACUCGGCCUCGGCCCGCACCAACCCAGGGCGGCCACAAAGUGCACAAGCGGCGGCCAGCGGUCCACGAGGAUGGCCGGGAUAGUAAGCGGGAGGUCGCCGGAGGUGCGAGGAGGGCGGCGCGGCCGGCGGGGAGCGGCAGUGGCGCGCGGAGGCAGAGAUCACCCAGACUCGGCCUGGGUGACUGUAGUUAGCCGUAGGGAGCUGGGGUGGCUCCGGCGGUGCAUGGGGACGGCGGAGGCCGGCGGGGAUGGCGCCGGGGAUGGGCCUCGGCCGGAGGGGAACACUUCCAGGGGUUGAGACAGCCUUUCAUCCUCCUUCGGCAGAGAGGGAGGAGAAGGUGGCCGAGAGGGUUAGAGAGGGAGGUGGUGCUUGGUUUUUCGGCGGCCGGAGUAGCACGCCGGCGGUCGGGACGCGUGCACGGCAGGGCAGAGCUCAGCUGGGGCGGCUAGGGUUAGCUGGAAGGACUAAGGUAGCAAAAAGGUCAAGGAAACCCUAGCUACCAUAUUUAUACUAAAAUGUCUUUUUGCCAAAAACCCCUCCAAAGCAUAUUAUUUACAGUCCAGCCCCUGCCAACGUGUGUAACCUGCGCGUACGUACCCCAACAAUCGAAAUAACGCGAAACAACGCAUAAAAUAUUGGACCUUUCGUGAUUUUUUUCCGUUUUUACCAAUUUAACCCCUCAGCGAACAUUCGUAAUUGCCGAAGAUCCGUUGGUCGGAUAUCCAAAUGGAUUGCGCCAGUGCGUUCAGCAUGACUGGGGCAUCAAAUAGCAUUUCGCUUCAUCUAAUUUGGUCGCCGAUCUGUGAUGAAGUCAACCCUCAUUACAUUCCACUAUGUAACCCUAUUCAUUUGUAUAUGUAAAUCCAAUCAAACCCCUUUUUCUCGAAAACUGUGCAUCAGAACCCAAAUCUGUCAGUGCCAUUGGGUCCAGAAUAGUUGAGCCGUCGAAAAUGAGCUAUUGGAUCGCUAUGUUCGGAGUCCAAUACGCACCAAAAGCCUUCUCUACUCAUUGGCUUCUCCGGAAAACCGGAGUUACUAUUCACUUUAAGUGAUUGGUACCGGUCUCGUAACUUCUCCAUCCUAACUCAUUUUCUCCUGAAAUUUGACGAGUGCUUAAGUAAUUACAUUACACACAAAACAUCGUCAACAAAGGGUUUAAUUAUAUUUUAAAAAUCUCGGAUAUUACAACAACCCACAUUACACCCCUACGUAGCACCUUUAGUCCAAAAGAAAUGCGUUUUAUAUUUAUUUUUUUAAAAAAAAAAGUUAUACUAUAUAUAAGUUUUGUUUGAGAGUGCAAAAAAAUCUACGUCUCAUGCGCUAUAUUCAACUUGGGAGUUUUCAGCCUACUAAAAAUUUUAGCUGAAAAUUUUUCAAUAUUACUUUGUUAGGAAUGAUUUUGAUUUGCUGACACGUAUUAAUUUUAUUCCUAUCUAAUAAUUCGUGGAUAAAAAUUAAAGUGAUACGUGAUAAAAAAUUAAUGCUCCUUAACUAUACAUUAUUGUAGAGUUUUAUUUCGAAUCGCUCGCUCUGCUCGCUCUGUUUUGAAAGUGAUGGCUGGAACUAGGGUAGGAUAUUGGGCGACGAGUCCUCUGCUCCACCGGGGCUGAGCCACACCGUAUUAGAGCUCAAAAAGAGAGUUACCAGCUGUACUAUAGGGCUUAGGGAGGAUAAGAUAGGUUGGCGAUGGGGCAGCAACGGUGAAUUCUCAGUUAAUUCGGCCUAUUGAAUGAUGAAUGACCGCGGGACGAGGGACGGACGUGGUAACUCGACUUGGAGGCUCCGAAUACCACUCACAAUCGAAGUAUUUUGCUGGCUAGUCCUUAAAAAAAGGGCACUUACUGCGGACAAUCUCAGUAAGAGGAGAUGGUCUGGAGAUACAGUCUGUGUCUUGUGUAGGGCAUGUGACGAGUCGGUAGACCACCUGUUCACCCAAUGCGUUUGUAUCAAGUUUAUCAUGGUUAUGGGACUCGAGGAUGUUCAGGCAGGGAAGUUGGGGGAAGAUGUACGUGUGGUUUGGGAUAGGUGGAAGGAGGUAUGAUGGACAAAGUUGGAAGAACGGACCUACUGAAUUGGCGACAUACUGGUGGACCAUCUGGAAGGGAAGGAACAACCUUAUCUUUCGUGACAUACAAUUCGAGUCUGCUCGAGCGGUGCAAAGCCUGAAACAGCUGAUUGAUUCUUAGAAACACCUUCUUUGAUUUUAUUUUUUUUUCAUACUUUCUCGAGACCCUGGUUGUCUCAACCAUGUAGCCUAAUUCAUAUCUUUAAUGAAUGAAGCAGGUAGCGUGCUACCUAUUCUCAAAAAAGAAAACAAUAAUAGGUAUGCAUGUGUUCGUAGCCGAAAUCCCUGGUCCUUGACCCGAUCAAAGACCCAAGCGUGUCGGGAUGGAAACAGCUUAUGGUACUGACCCUCGAAGUUUGCCCUCUUCGAAUGAUCAAGUGAUUCGGCUGACGAGGAAUCAAAUCAGUCGGGUUCGAAACCUCUAACAGUAAACUCGGUUCGGCGGGAUGAGCCGAAUGUACGGACCGAGCGAGAAACAAAAUACGACAGAAGAGCCGAACUAGCAGAAAAGGUGAGAAUUGGUCGGCUAGAGGAGCCGAAUGCCUUUAUAUUGAGUGGAAAGAAGUACAGGGGUCGAGUGUGCCGGAUGACAUGCAGACUCGUUGAUCUACUUUACUAACUACUCCUAGAAAGAACAGUAAAUGCAGAAAAGUUACAGGUAAACUACUCCUAGUGCAGGAAAUUGUAAGGAAUUAAGGGUGGUCUUUUGUUCGUAGGGGAAAAGACCAAUUUUAAGGGUGUUAUUGACCUAUUUAUAGGUCGCCCCUGUUGAUCAGUUAUUCCAUGUCCAUGAUCGGCCACUAUCCCUGAUUAUUCGGACCACUUUCAGCCGAUCGGAACCGCUUGUAACUGCUUGCGGUUACUAUAACUUUCCUUGAUUGGCGCGGCAGUUCUUGUUAAGAAGCCCUUCGAUGCUCCUGGUGUACGUCAAAAUUGUUUCCUUUAAAAAGAAUAUUAGAGCACCACAUGUCCGCGCCUAAUUGGUUCAAUAGCAUGCAUGCAUGUAAAAGAAUGAUGAUCUACCUAAUUAGCCACGGUACAUGAUAUUUUUCAUUAAAAGAAUUUUUUAAAAUUAUUAGAUUUUGUAUUUUUGUAUGAGGCAUAUGGAGUUUUUUGAUCGAUUAUUGUUAUUCCUAUAUAUAAAUAUAUAUAUCUAUAAUGGAAGAUAAUGAAUUAUUGUCCUAGUAUCCUUGGUAAAUAAUAGGACUUCUAAAAUCAAUCUUUUUUAAUAGUAACAGCCACUAAUGUAAUGGCACUACAAUAAAACUAAGCUAUAGCGAUACUUUUAAGUGUCCCUAAAACCUAAAAAAAGUGAUGCUGGCCGACAUUAAAAAUAGUAUCACUAUAUGUGCAGUCCCUAGGGUAUAUAGCGACACAUAAUAAAGUGUCGGUAUAUCCCAAAAUAAGUGCUGUAGUUUAGUGACACUUUUUUUUAGUUUUAGUGACACACAUAAGUGCCCCUAUUUUUUAAAAAAAAGUAAUUUUUUUUAUAUAGUGACACUUUAUAAGUGUCCCAUUGUCAUUCAAAGUAUAAUAUUUUAUUUAAACAUCUACUAUUAAACUUUAGUUAAGCUAAUCGCAUUUAUUAAAUCGAUGAGACUAAAAAAAACAAUCACCAAAGUUUCUUAAAUUCUCAUUAAAAUGAUAAAACUAAAAUUCAAAUAUUCAUACGUCACAACAAUUUACAAGGGGGCAAAGUGUCGAUUUUUAAAUGUCGGGGAGGGGGGAGUGAAAAAGCGUGUUAUUACAAGGGAGUUUUCUGUAAUUUAGCCUAAUAAUUAUAACAAAUCAAACUCUCCAACUGAAAAAAAAAAAAUCAAAAAUCAAAAAUUUUAUGAUAACAAAAUCAAAAAGUGCAUAAACGUAUUCUGAUCCACUCCACGAUUAUAUCCUUGGACCUGCACAUUGAAUAACAUUGGAAUUACUUAUUAAUCAACGAAUAAGUUUUGGACAUAUAUUAAAAUUAAGAUGACUAAAUUUACCUAAUGAAUAAUAAGCCCAUUAAAAGUCACUAAUUUCGAACACCACACCAUACCAUAACAAGAAAGUUACUAAUAAAUUUAGGUUCUAAAAUAACAAGAGACACUGUUUCAACAUGAUACAUGAUGUACUAUACUGUUUCGGAUGAACAUCAUAGAACUAUUUAAACAUCAUAAAACCAUUAGAUAUUUAUAUCAAAUUAUCAACUGUACGUAAUCGUGCAGACCUCUUUUGGUAUUAUCUUUUUUUUUUUUCUAGACUACAAAUCUUGCUAUUAUUGUUAGCUCUACUACUAGUCAUCUUAAUAAAGCAUUGACACAAAUAAAAGCAUGAAUUACACCGGUGAAGAAGAUUACUAUCUUCUAAUAUUCAAUGCUAAGUCAACUUAUGGCUCAGAAAAGCAUGAAUUACAUUUGGUACUCAUAUUUUUAUAAAUUAUUAUUCUUGGAAGAUAAAUCGUUGCAAGCUUCAUGAACUCAUUGAUACACUUCACUAGAUAAUGAUUAAAACCUUCUAGGUCCUUUGUCAAUAGAUAAAAGCAUAACAAUCUACCAUAAUGGAAUGGAUCAAACUAGUCUCCACCAGUAUACCCCUAAAAAUUACUAGUUGAAGGUCUUGCAAUAGAGAUGAUCCACGAGAUCUCAAAGAUGACAACCACAAAGCAGAAGCAUAUGAUGAUCGAUACGUUAAGACUUCAAAGAAUUAUGUUAAAACUACUAAUUAUUGAUCAUGUUAAUGGUUCUACUAAUGCUACAGUAAGUUGGUUCAUUCCUUACAGCAUCAAUAUUUUUUUUUGAGAGAGAUAGGUAGCACGCUACCCGCUUCAUUUAUUUCAUUUGGAAAUAAACCUAGCUAGAAAUGUGAAUCAACUAGGAUUCGAACUUGGGUCUCGAGUACCAACCACCAAGCCCUUUGCCACUUGCUCUAGGGACGGUCGGUCUUGCAGCAUCAAUAUUGUAGUUGCUCUUUCUAUAGCACAGAACUAUCUAUGGUACAAUAGCUGAGACCUUUUAGUUCUGCCUUAUGGUAUUUUUAGCUUAGUUCAGCUACUUUUAAAUUUACUUAAUUUACUAUCUCUACUUUCUUAGUCAGAAAGAUGCCUAAUAGGAUUGGACUUAUUCGACUCUAAGCUUUCAAACAAUAAAAGAAAACUUUCUAGUUUUCCCUGUUAUACAGAUAUUGUGAUCUUUCACAGUAUGCCCCUCUAGAUCCUCCAUAUGCACAACCUAAAUAAAAUUAUUCCAUGUUUUCGUGGUCAGAAAAUAAAAAUUUCUUCUCAGCCAAUGCCUUAUUUUAUUCACAGAUAACAAUAGAUAAGAAUACUGGGGACUCAAGCGACUUAACUUACAAAAUAGCCUAAUUUAAGGCAACUGCAAUACAAGGUACCAUACAAAAGAAUUUAUGGACGAAACUGAGGAUUCGAGAUCGAGAGCUCUUACUAGUGGAAUGGAGCACCGAAUCAAGAAGUGGUACCACCGAGGGCUCGGAUCAGAUUGCCGGGUCGAGGAUUGCCCUCGCGGGACCAAGGAGGUCGGUGCUGAUGAGGAUUGAGAACUAAACUACACAAUCACAACGAACUGAUGAACAAAAAUAAAAAAAGUAAGAUAAAAAGCAUAUAUUGGGCUGAGAUUUGAAAUGCAUUUAGUUCCCAGCUAAGAAAACUGGACUACUUGGAACUGUAAAACAAAGCAAAUUCUGAGCCUAAAGAAAAUUUUGAACUUAAUCAUUGGGUGUCGCAGGUACAUCACAUAUGAAUAUUGUCACGCCCCGAACCCGCUUAUUUGGUCGGUUUCGGGCACGCCGACAGACCGCCGAACAGAUAGGGUUUCUCUGGCACCGCGGACAGAGUCUCCCCUGUACGUCCAAGGCGUCGCAAUCGAUACAAUAUACGAAGUUCCAACUAGGAACACAUUUCAAUCAAAGAUUGCAUAAGGAAGUAUCAAAAACAUAAUCUACUUGUUAUUACAAACAUUCUCAUUCACUAGAUACAUUUUACAUCACAAACACUUAUUACAUUUAACUUCCAAAUACAAUCAAAAUUAUUACAACAUUGUUUAUUCUUUUCUUUUCUUUUCUUCUACACCCCUAGCUAGGCUAACUCGGGGUACCGUUAUCUCUAGUCUCGGUGGUAGGACGCUAUCUACGGAGCUACGCCCUCUCCUUGAGCCGACGCGCCGCUCACGUGCGAACCUGUACCCCCAAAAGCAACACGGGGGUAAGAACUAUAUAAAUAUAGUUCCCAGUGGGUACGGCCACCCAAGGGAAGAGCUCGACCCACAGGUCGAGGAGGCACUGCAACAUGUUAGUCCAACAAAUAUCGAACAGAUAUAUAUAUAUAUAUAUAUAUAUAUAUAUAUGCGAUAAUUGAAAUACAUGUCAUGCCUCACAACCAUGCAAUAUGAAAAUCAUGCGAUUUAUGCAACCAAUUAGUAGUUCAAUCGAUACUACUUUAAUCCUGCUAUUCAAAGCUCAUUCAAUUGACUUCGAAGUUAUUCCACUAUUUUAAAUUCAUAUCAAUUACAAUUCUGAUCAUAUGGUUCACAUGUUCGAAUUAAAAAAAAAAAAGAAAAAGAAGAAAAUCAAAAAAAGAAAUCCUACUCGUUUCAAAAAAAAAGGGAAAGGAAAGAAAGUUACAAAAAAAAGAAAAAAGAAAGAAGAAAAAAGAAAAAAAAAAAAAAGAGAGGAAGAAGGAACAAAACAAAAAAAGGAAAAAAAAGAAGAAAGAUGGAAAGAAAGCAAAAAAUAGAAAAGAAAAAAAAUCUUUGUCAUUUCAAAUAAAAUAAAAUAAGGAAGGAUUUAAAAAUAGUAUCAAAUACUUAAAUUCCUUAUAAGCAUAAGAAUGUAUAUAAUUCCUUUUAGAGGUUUGUUUGAAUUUUGUUUCUAAAAUGAUAAUGAUUCUUGAUCCCUAUAAAUUGGAUCAAGAUGUAAGUGGGUUUUUUUUUUUUUAGCAGUAACUAGAAAGAAAAAAAGAAGAAGUUGAGAUUAAAAAAAAAAAAAAGGAGAAAGAAGAAUACAACAGUAAGAAAAAAAAAAGAAGGUAAAAAAUAAUAAUAAUAAUUUUUCUUUUCUUCUUUUUCUCUUCUCUCCACGUGUGCACACAAGGCAACACUCCCCCCUCUCCCUCCUGCCGCAUGUCAGCAACAAAGGGAGGGAGGUGUGCUGUGAGCACACCUCUCACCCCAAAUCGUACCAAAAAAAAAAGGAAGAAGGAGAAGCUUGGCCUUUUUAUUCAACGACGACGACAAUGACGACGACGACUUCGACAAUGGCGCGAUGACAACGACGACAACAGUGACGACGUCGACAAUGGCGCUCUAACGACGACUUCGACGAUGCGCAAAGAGGCCAUAGGGCCUCUUUUCUUUUUUUCUUUUCUACGAUGGUGACGGGUCAUUGUAUACGUGCAAACGAUAUAGUUGCGAUUUUAUGUCGGUUUGAUCAACACGACCGUCUUCGUGAUAGGUCGAUCCGAUCAAAUUUGACAUUCAAUCGUUACCAUAUCAUGCGCGCGUAUUCAUUAAGCCCGUCUCCCUCAACAUCAAAAGAAAAAUUGUGCGCACGAGCGACACGACGGUGACGAUCCUUGUGUCGGAUUGAUUGAGCGGCCGUAUUCGUGAUAGGCUCGACACUUUCAAUCUCAACGUUGGAUCGUUACCCUCAUUGGACUUAUGAUCAUACCGAGUGGCCGUCUUCGUGAUAGGCUCGACACGGUUGAACUUCGAUUCGGACCAAAAUGAUUACAACAAAAAACAAAAUAAUAAAAAAAUGAUAAUAAAUAUUUUCUCGGGUCGCCGUCUUCGUGAUAGGCUUGACCCAAGUUCUGUUCAAUUAAACCGGGUCGCCGUCUUCGUGAUAGGUUUGACUCGGGUUUGGAUCAUUAAACCGGGUCGCCGUCUUCGUGAUAGGCUUGACUCGGGUUUGGAUAAUUAAACCGGGUCGCCGUCUUCGUGAUAGGCUUGACCCGAGUUCGGUUCAAUUAAACCGGGUCGCCGUCUUCGUGAUAGGCUUGACCCGAGUCCACCAAACCAUAAUGAUAAAUCAAAUCGGAUUAUCAGCCGAUCAAGUCUAAUCAAUGAGUCUAAUUGAACCAUUAAAGACAUUAACCGAACCAAAUCAAACUACAAGCUAGUUUGACUUGAACCAAACCACAAAGAAUUCAACUUGAACCAAAUCAAAGUAAAUCCUGUCUGAACCGAACCGAACAGGAUUCAACUUAAACCAAAGUGAAUCCGAUUUGAACUAAACCGAACCGGAUCCGAACCGAACCAGAUCCUGUUUGAACCGAACCGGAUCCUAUUUGAACCGAACCGAACGAGAUUCAACUUAAACCAAAGUAAAUCCGAUUUGAACUAAACCGAACCGGAUCCUGUUUGAACCGAACCGGAUACCGUCUGAACCGAACCGAACGAGAUUCAACUUGAACCAAAGUGGAUCCAACUUGAACUAAACCAUAAAGGAUUUAACUGAACCACAAAGGAUUCAAUACGAACCGAAGUGGGUCCAAUCCGAACUAAACCACAAAGGAUUCAACUCGAACCGAAGUGGGUCCAAUCCGAACCGAACAGGAUUCAACUCGAACCAAUGUGGGUCCAAUCUGAACCGAACAGGAUUCAACUCGAACCGAAGUGAGUCCAAUCCAAACCGAACAUGAUUCAACUCGAACCAAUGUGGGUCCAAUCUGAACCGAACAGGAUUCAACUCGAACCGAAGUGAGUCCAAUCCAAACCAAAUCAUAAAGGAUUCGACUUGAACCAAAGUGGAUCCGAUCCGAGCCGAACCAUAAAGGAUUCAACUGAACCGAACCGUAUUCGGUCCGAACUAAAUCAUAAGGGAUUCAAUUUGAACUGAACCGAACCGGAUCCCGUCUUAACCGAACCAAGAAGCAUUCGACUCGAACUGAAGUGGAACCGAUUCGAAUCAAACCAUAAAGCAUUCAACUUGAACCGAAAUGGAUCCGAUCCGAACCGAACCAGGAAGGAUUCGACUCGAACCGAAGCGGAUCUAAUCCGAACCAAAUGGAUUCAACUUGAUCCGAAGUGGAUCUGAUCCGGACAGAACCACAAAGGAUUCAACUCGAACCAAAGUGGAUCCAAUCUGAACCAAGCUGCAAAGGAUUCAACUUGAUCCGAAAUGGAUCCGACUUGAACCGAACCGAACUGAACCGAACAGGAUUCGAACCAAACCGGAUCCCGUCCGAUCCGAACCGAACUGAACCGAACCGGAUCCGAACCAAACUGGAUCCCGUCCGAUCCGAACCAAACUGAACCGAACCGGAUCCCGUCUGAACCAAAUCAUAAGGGAUCCGACUUGAACCGAACCCGAUCAGGAUCCGACUCGAACUGAAGUGGGUCCAAUCCAAACCGAACAUGAUCCGACUUGAACCGACUCGAGCUAAAUUCGGUUCAAUCCAAUCAGGGUCUAACUCGAACCAAGGUGGAUCCAACCCAAACCAAACCAUAAAGAAUCCAAUUCAAACCAAGUCUGGAUAGAUCCCGAACCAAAGCAUAACGGUUCAACCCCACAAACUCAAAACUCAAAACCCAAAACUCAAAGUCCACAAAGAAAAUCCAAAAUCCAAAGCCUACAAAUAAAGCCAAUGACCGAAAAGUCGUUAAACUAAACAAUUCAAACGACCGAAAAGCCGUUAAACUAAACAAUUCAAACGACCAAAAAGUCGUUAAACUAAACAAUUCAAACGACCGUAAAGUCGCUAAACUAAACAACCAAAUCCAAAGUGACCAAAUAAACUUGAAGUCGCCCAACUCAAACUAAGUCUUGAUGGGUCCCGAACGACCCAAACCAAAUCUUAAUGGGUCCCGAACGACCCAAACUGAACCAAGCCUUGAUGGGUCCCGAACGACCCAAACCUUGAUGGGUCCCGAACAACCCAAACCGAACCAAGUCUUGAUGGGUCCCGAACGACCCAAACCAAGUCUUGAUGGGUCCCGAACGACCCAAACCAAACCAAGUCUUGAUGGGUCCCGAACGACCCAAACCAAGUCUUGAUGGGUCCCGAACGACCCAAACCGAGCCAAGUCUUGAUGGGUCCCGAACAACCCAAACCAAGCUUUGACGGGUCCCGAACGACCCAAACCGAACUAAGUCUUGAUGGGUCCCAAACAACGCAAACCAAGUCUUGAUGGGUCCCGAACGACCCAAACAAAGUCUUGAUGGGUCCCGAACGACCCAAACCGAGCCAAGUCUUGAUGGGUCCCGAACGACCCAAACCAAGCCAAGUCUUGAUGGGUCCCGAACGACCCAAACCAAGUCAAGUCUUGAUGGGUCUUGAACAACCCAAUCCAAACCAAGUCUUGAUGGGUCCUGAACCAAAGCAUAACGGUUCAACCCAAAACCAAUUCAAACGACCGAAAAUGUCGCUAAACUAAACCCAAAAUUCAAACGACCGAAAUGUCGCUAAACUAAACUCAACUUCAAACGACCGGAAAGUCGUUAAACUAAACCCAAUCUAAAUGACUGCGAAGUUGUUCAUCAAAACUUGAACUCGACCGCCAUGUCAUUAAACUGAGCAUGAAAACUUAAACUUGACCACCAUGUCAUUAAAUUGAGCAUCAAAACUUCAACCGACUGCCAUUGGGUAUUUAGUCUGAUAAAAUUCAUGUACAGUGAGGGUAUGCCCCUGCUUAAGCCAUGUAAACGGCAAAUCAUAUCAAUAAAAUUUCAUUUGCCUGUUUUGUCUUUUUUAUUAUCAGCAUUUAUAUUUGGUCUCUUAAUCGAGGGUUCCUUAAUACCAAAAGUGUGGGGUAAUUAACAGCAAAUUCUUGAGUUUGUUGGAAGCCAUGAACCUAUAAUCCUGAUUUCAAAGUAAAAUUCAUACAAAUUUAACCUCUACCAUGAAUGACCACUCGCCCUAGAAACACCCUACGGCGGGGCCGGUUGGUUCGUGGCAGACACUCAUUUACCUUUAUCAACUAUCCACCCGACUCGGUCUCGAGUCAAUCAUUCGCGGAGUACCGCGUAAAGCCAGGCUCGAGGCGAAGGACGUCUCACUUGUACCUCAGCCUUAAGUCCACUCAACUAGGAUAUUGCUACAGCUCAUGUGCUUGUUACUCAAUCUCUUGGCUAACCCGAAGGUUUCGCCCUCAACAAACUCACCAACCCAAAAUCCCAUUAACCGGGGAGAUACCCGCUACAACCCGGUGGGAUCGUCCUCUGGGGAUAUACCCGCUACAACCCAGUGAUGUCGACUCCGGAGCACAUCGCCCGAGAGGGAGCUACCACAACCUUGAGCAAGGACUAAAGGUGAGUAUGAUCAAUCUUACAUUUGAGGACUCCAAGUUCAAUCCAUUCCUUAACUUUAGGAUGACUAUGCUCAAAUGACCCUAAACUCUAGGGUUGAAAUGUCAUAAUAUUUCAAUCAUUCUUUUCUUUGCAUUCUUUACUAUCACUUGUGUCAUAUACACUACUAUAUUCUUGGACUCAUGCCACACUUGUUUUCUAAAUGUUCAACAUGCCAUAAGUGUUUCCAUUAUACUAAUCAUAUGCCACUCAAUCUAAUAUAUAUAGAUUGUCCACGUCACAUAUCAUAGUUCAUACGUCAUUGUUUUCCAACGUCGAGUUUUCUAACUAUCCAAGAGUUAUAGACCCAAGUUCAACAUGCAUAUGUUAUUUAACAUAGUCCACAAUACAUCAACGUGCAUAUAUAUAUCAACUCAUAUCUCAAGGUAUAUCAACAUGCAUACAUUUCCAUCUUCUAUGUUCCACAAUAUGACAAUAUGUCAUCAAGUAUGUUUUUCUAUUUAACAUAAUCCACAAUAUGUUAAUUCAUAAUAUGUCAUCAUGCACAUAUACCACUAGCAUCACAUGAUAUGUCAACAUACAUAUAGUUAUUAUCCAAAAUAGUUCAUACUUAGCAUCUCAUGCAUUCUUUUAGCAUUUAAUUCACUAUGCAUCUCAUCUCAUUGGUAGGUAAUCUCAACUACAUAGUAUGUUUCAAGCAUUCAUAUCAUUAUGUAAGCCUACCAACACAACUAUAUGCAUCAAUUAGAAAACCAUUACUCUUAGACAUAUAGGCGACCUAGUCGCUUCGGUGAGCACAACCCACCUCAUUUCGCAUUCCGAUUGCUUGUCGACACUUGCAAUCGGCCUCCCGCGGCACCCAGCAUCCGGUUUGGCCCGAUCUCUCGCGCGACCACCUGAAUGGCCUCCAAUUCACGAUCCGAAAAUUAAAGGUCUUCGGUUAUGUGCCACGGUGCUUCAAAUCCGUUUCAUGAGUAUACGAUGUCGCCUCAGCCCUCCAGGCGAAAACGAAGCCUAAACGUCCGUUUCUUUAAUAACUUCGCAACGGCUCGACGAAUCGCCUAACCGACUUCGCCAACGCGUUUGUUUACCUAGCAAUUAGGUUUACAUAGGGUCAAUUUAGAUCAAACCCAUACAUUUUAUAAAACCCCAAAAUUGGAGCCCUAACAUGCUACUAUUGCAAUAAGCUUCAAAAUUGAUUCAUGAUUCAAGCAAUUAGCAUGUAGAUAUCAUAUAGAGAGUCUUCUAAACCCAUUCCUAGAGCAUAUAAUUAAAGCUCUAAGGUUCUACCAUUUUUAAAAGCCUAGCCUCUACACAUGCUCCAAUUAACCCAAAUUAAAUGGAUUCAACAUGCUAAUCAACACAUUAGGGGCUAUUAGAAUACUAAGCAUUAAGAAUUAAGCCAAAUCCCAAAAGCUUACCUCAAUGUGAACGCUGCGACGAAAACACUCCGCUCCAACGGCCGCAAGAAAGCUCGAUCUGUCGCUCCCAACGCGUUCGCAAGCAUCAUCUCCAUCAACCCCGCGAAUUUGAGUGAGAGAUAUAGAGAAAUGGGAGAGAAAUCUAGAGAGAGAAAGGUUCCUUUCUCUCUCUCACCAUGCGCACGAGAGGGUGGUGGGGUGCUGGUCGGUUGGGGAAGAAGAAGCAACAUCUUCUUUUAAUUACACCCCAAAACACUAUUCACUCCAGGACAGUUUAGUAGUUCGGAACAGUUGGAGCCCUUCUGAAUGUCCGUUUGGGCUCAAAUUUGACAGGCAGACUCGGUUUAACAUACUUAGUAAGAAUAUAUCUUAAGUUUUCAGUUUCGACCUCGUUUGGUCACUGAAAACUGUACCGAACUGUAAUCUUUAUUAGAUAGCAGUCGGAUUUUAUUUCUCACUCUACGGGUGUCAGAAAAAUAUGAAACUUUAAAUCUAGCCUCAUAAAAAUAUUUCUGACUUAUCCUCCAAUUUUCAUAAUUUUCUGAGACUGUGCAUUUUAUGCUAAUUUAUCUGUCCCGUUUCCAACAGAAAAUUCUAAAUCUUCUAUUUCCAGUCCGAUUUCAGCACAAGUCAUUUCUGACUUAUGUUUUACUCCUCUAAAUCCAAUAAAAAUAGUAUCACAUACUAUUUUUAUUUAUUUUUUUAUUUUUAUAUCAAAAUCUGGUAUGUUACAAAUAUAAUCUCUGUACCGUCCAUUCAAACUUGUAAUCAUAUCUCCAGAGGUAAAAAUGUAGCUACCCUGUAAACCAUAGGCAAUUUGCAAAUGACCCUCACAACUUCAUUCCUUUUCAUUGAGGCACCAUCCAUUUUUUCCCAGUAAUUUCAAGUUCUAUCAACAUUCAAGUAGCUAAUAGCUUUUUCAUUCAAAAGAAAAGCAGGUGUGUUCAUCAAGUAUCAAGUAUCAAGCAUAAAGAACAUUUUAUUCCUGCUAUUUCUACUGCUUUAUUUUUCGCACAAAUAAUAGAAAAAGAUUAAAAUUUAUAUUGCAGGAUAAAGUAAAAAAAAAAUGAGUUUCACAGCCUAAAAGGCAAGAGUUUUCAUUUGGUGCUUCUAAUUUCACUCCAAAGAAAAACUAUCGGAGGCAUUAUUUUGAAAGGAGCAAAGAUAUUUGACUAUACUAUGGAGGAAGCAGAAAUAUUUGAGAAUAUUAAUUUUCUUUUUUUUCCUUAUAACACUAAUUAGAUAAUAAUUUUGUCAUAUAGUACUAUCAAUCUCUUAAUCGAUGCUAAGUUCACAAAUAAUCUUGUAAAUAAUAUGAAAGUUUGUAAAUAAUAUGCUUAUGCGAUAAAGUUUGUAUACAAUAAAAUUUAUCUCUUUAAAGUGCUAAUUUUACUUAAUAUUGCAUAUAAAAUUGUACAAAAAUAAAUAAGCAACAAAGAACACAUAGUUAAAAUAGAAAUAUAAUGCAUCAAUCUUGGAAGUUUAACAAGCAUUUAUUUUAUACCUUCAAUAUUCACUUUAUUUUCUUUUGAUUUAGAUUUGUAGAAGAAUUUGAAUGAGUAAAACUUUCUGCAUAUUCAUCAUUUUGUGCUUUGCUGAUUGGAAUUAGAUUGAGGCUCCUUCCAAUAUUCAUCUUCACUUUGAGUUAUUCGGAUGCCUUUUCCCUUUGUCACCUCUUUCAAUAAAAUUAAACAAAAGAGACUCUUAAAACUGUGAUUAGAAAGUCACUUAUAUCAAUCACCACACCAUAACAUGAGAAAAAAGUUACUAACAAAUAUAGGUCCUAAAAUAACAAUAGAUACUGUUUCAUUAUUGUGAUUAGAACGUCACAAUAAUGAAAAUUUUAGGGAAAACUUCAAAACCCCCCCCCCGUGGUUUCGCACUUUCUCACUUGAGUCCCCUGUGGUUUAAAGGAAACUUCGCGGCCGACGUCGUGAUCUUCAACUCGCUGCGGCCGAAUGCCGACCAGUGCAGGGUAAAGAACGACGGCUGCCGGAUCCUGAUCGAUGCAGACUCGGUGAUGUACAACAUCACGCGGAGCGGCGGGAAGCAGGUGGUCGGCGACUUGCCGGAAAAGUAGUGCAAGUGGUUCCUCUUCUUUGCCUAUGACUACCGGCAGAAGCCUCACCGCCACCCCUUCGUCGGCCACAUCAUCAGCCGCUGGCAGUGGUGGAUUAGUAGUUAACUAACUAGAAUUUCGCUAUGCCCGCGCAUGCGUACGUUCGCGUAAAAUCACAGCAUCUAUGCGAUUUAAGAAACUACCGAAAGAUGUACACAUAUAAAGAUGAAUAAUGUGUAUGUACACAAUACAUGUAUGAUUGAGAAGGCAUAAUAUUUUUUUAAUUAAUUAAUUGAUUAAUUAAUUACUUGGAUGAAGUAUUAAGCAUGUAAUUGUAUUAACUGUGCUUGACUCAUCAGUGAUUAUUUACAUAACAAGAGCAUACUUGAAAGGAAUUUAAUAAGAUUUGAAAAAAAAAAAAGAGAACGAUUUCUUAGAUUUUGAGCAAUUUGCUUUUGCAAAAAUUAAAUUAUACAAUUUUAGAAAAUACGUGUUCAAAGUGUAUUGGUUUUGAGGAGUAAACACAAAAUUGGAUAAAACAAAGGAAAAGAUGCAGUAACAUCGCAACCAAUCUAAAUUUCAACAGGAUUAGUCAUCGUAUUUGUUUAUUAAAUUUUUUUCUUAUAGUAUUAAAAUUGUUGCGUAGAUUUUACACCGAGAAUUAAAUAUGAUAUUAUCUCUCUAAAAUUACAGUAAAACCUUUUGAAAAUUGAAUGGUAAAAUAGUUUACUUAUUGAUAAAUUAAAUUAGGUGUAAGAGUAACAAUAACUUAAUCAUUGAGCGUUACGAAUUGAACAACCUUAUACUCUUACAACUUCAAUUAAACUCUAAUCACACACUACCUUCAUUAUUAUGCUUUUUAAUUUACUUUCUGAGUAGUUUCUCGCGAAAGCCCCUAAGAAAUAUUUAAAGAACAAUAAUAAACGUCUCUGAAUUCAAAACACGACAACACUUCAUAAUUAAGUUGCUAUGUAUUUAUCACAAUUUAAUUUCAAGUAACAUAACUAAUAAAUACAUUUGUUGUGUUCUUUAGUUGAAAAUUACACUCCUUGAUGUUCCUUAACUUAUUAUUUAUAGGAAAGAAUAAAAAACCCGCAUAGGGGUUACCUAAUCUAUAAGGCACAUUUGUAAACAGGUGAGGAAACUUUGAAAGUUUGCAUUUUAGUACUUAAUAAUUUUGUAAACAAUUUUGAAUUUAAUAUCUUGCAGUAAGGAUAGCUACUCGAGAAAUUAUUACCUGCACCUACUCCUUCCACACAUCUAUAUAUACCAAAAUUAUAUUUUCAGAAAGGUUAAGUACUGAAAUGCAAAUUUUUGCGAAUUCAGUUACCUGUUUAUAAAUGAGCCAUAAGUCAGGCAGUUUUCUUGUCUUUCUCAGCAUAUAUAUAGAGGCUCAGAAUCAGACACCAAUUUCUUGUAUAGCAUAUACCAAGAAGUAGUUCAGAGAUCCAAAAGUUAAACAAUGGCCGGGCGGGGGCACGGCCGCGGCCUUCUCCUACUCGCGAUCCUCCUCGUCGUCUUUCCUUCAGCCCUCUCCGAGCUGCACAACAUCAUCAUUGUGAGCCGGAUGGCGGAUGAGGUCGCCCUCAAGUGCCGCAUCCGGAUCCUCGGUGAAACAAUCUUCUUCAAGGACUUCUACCUGAAGCCAGGGGUCCUGGAUGAGCAGAUCUUCACACCGACGAAGCGGCCCUUCUUCAUAGAGUGCUACUACGGAUAUAAGGGCAACUACGCGUCCAAAGUACGGAUUUUCGAUGUGGUGUGGCCGGACGCGUCAGAUUGCCGCGUCGACCGCGGCGGGUGCUUAUACGAGAUCAAGGAUGCGGUGCUGUACAAGACGACGAGGGCUCACGGGAAGCGCGUGGUCGGGGACCUCCCGAUAGAGCAAUGCAAACGAUUCCUUGGAAUCGCCACUAAAUGCUGGCAGAGGCGCCACCGUUACCGUCUUCUCGGCGAGAAGAUCGACUACUGGGAGUUUUUCUGGGCACAAUGAUAUCGACAGAACUGUUUUUGUUUUCUACAGGGCAAGAAAGUUAGAAUUCUCAAAAGAUAUAAUGUAUUUGUCCUGUAAAAUGCCAAAAACAAACGGAUUUGUUUAGUAUCUCGGUUCCUAAUUAGAUAUACUUAGUGCUUAUAUAAGCAUGAUGAUACUAAUUAAUUAGAUGCUCUCAGUAACACAAAUAUUUCUACUAAAAUGUUUUCCUUUUUUGUUCCCCUCCACUGGAUAAUAUGAUCAAUCUCCAACAAAUAUAUCACAAGAUUAAAAGAGAGAGAAACAGAGAACAAAAAAAAUGAAAAGAAUUUCCUCUUGUGCAUACAUUAUUCUAAAUUGGGUGUAUACUUCUCUAAAAUUACAGUAUGUAAAAUUCUCUGUAUUCGCAAAGUUCUGUGCCACUACAGAAUUUCUUAUAUUGCAUUAAUCCAGGCACUAUUUAUCUCAAUCAAUAUUUAAUCUAUGUCGACUAUAUGAUUGUGAGAAUAAUGCCAAUAGGAAAAUCAUAUCUAAAAUAUAGCCGACUCAUCCCUCUUACUAGUUAACAUUGCCAUUGCAUCAAGGACAACAUGAUAAUUUUAAUCAGAAAAGCAUAAUAAAAUGAUAACAAUUUGUGAUUUGCUUUAAUUUAAAAUACCUUUUUUAAAAAACGAAUUAAUCCUGAUAUGACAAAUGAUGCUUCCAAAGCCGCAGGCCCUAAGCGCUCGGCUCAGCGAUGAUAGAGGAAUACCCCCCUUUCUUGCAAUAACAUAAAUCACCCUGUGUUUCUUCAGAAAAUAGAUGACGAAUUUCUGCAGUCAGCUAAAAAAGCAGCUAAAAAAGUUUGGCAUAUAGCAUUCAAGCACUUUCAUAAAGCUUCUGUGUGAAUGCGCGUCCUCUAAUACGAUGAAAUUAUGUUCUUGAAUGCUCUAUGGUGUGAAAUGGAAUUAAAAGUAAUACAAAAGACCACAUAUAUGCCUAUUUCCUAAUUCGGCAAAUCUAAGAUGCGAGCUUUGGUACAUACCUUCAUGAAUUUGCUUCAUCUCAAUAACAAAGUAAAAUAGUCAUGAAUAUCUGAGCUCAUUCACCAUAAAUCUUCACAGGAACACUUUGCAUGCUUAAAAUGAUGAAAGCGGUGUGUAUCUCGAAGAAUUAUCUCCAUCUCCAUGACUUGGCUUAUAUACUUAAUAGCCUCAUGACAGUCCUCGCAGACACGCAGAUUUUUCAUGACCCUAAGAGGUGUUUUCUGGGGGUGGAAAUGAUCCCAAAAGCAAUAGCUAGCUUCUCACUAUGGAAAUUCAAUGCCGACUCUCUUUGUUCUUCUUCUACAUCAUGAAGAACCAAAUUCGUUCUACUCAAAUACCCUAUUUCCUUCAACCUUGCAAUCAAUUUAUUUAAAUAAGAAUAAAUUUCAUCGGCUUUGGGAUGUGACUUAUCCCCCACAACAAAUGUGUGAAUCAUGUUCUGUAACGACCCAACCAUGUGACUUAUCCCCCACAACAAAUGUGUGAAUCAUGUUCUGUAACGACCCAACCAGCCCAAAAUGCAUAACCCUAGUUAUUAUUACUAGUGUCUGAGUCUCUUAUAAACCCAAUGACAACCCCUUUCCCAUCCGAUGUGAAACUAUUGGGGUGUCACAGACUCCCCCCGUUAAGGCCCCGACAUCCUCGUCAGUCCAAUCACACACACUGCCCAAGAUCACCAGGCGAUGUGAGACUCAUCUCGCUAGCCUGUCAUCCAGACCUUGGCUCAGUCGAGACUCGCCACACAUGUCCAGCUGGUGAACCGGCUCUGAUACCAAAUGUAACGACCCAGCCCACUAGCAACAAUAACUCGUUGGGCCCAACCACCGGCCCAAAAUGCUUAAGCCCAGUUAUUAUUACUAGUGUCUAAGUCUCUUAUAAACCCAAUGACAACCCAUUUCCCAUCCGAUGUGGGAUUAUUGGGGCGGUUACAUGUUCUUAUUGAAUCCAAGAUUGACCGAGUUGUUUUUCUAACCCCUCUUUCAUGCAUUAAACUUUUCAAUUCAAAUUAUCUUCCUAUUUCCUUUAGUGGAAUAAAUUUGACAGCAAAAUGUAGGAUCUGCAUCAUAUGGGUUCCAGCUCAACCAACUUUUCAGAAUGCCAUAUUGCAUCUUGAUGUAAUUAUGAGCAUGCAUGCCAAUAAAAAUGCUCUCUAAACAACAACAUAAUGAGCUUAUUUUAUUUUCAUAAAUGAAUGUUUUGCCCUGUCAAGGAUCCGGAUCGACCAUAGAGAUCAGCUAUAAAAGUAUAGUGUCUACACUGGACCUAUGUCACGCCCCGGAUGUCUCGUUCCCCGGGCACCGCGACAAAUCCGCCCGUAUACAAAGAAAUUUUCUCUGUAUACGACAGCGACAGCUGUACCUGUAAAUCAAACACUACUACGAAACAGUAGUAGAGAGUGCUAGAGAAAACAGAAGCUAAACAAGCUGAGUUUCAUAUACAUAGUCAAUAUCCAAAACAGAGCUACUCGCACUGCGAGUUAAGUCAACUAUGUACAUAAACUCGAAACAAAACAUCUACCUGCGGUAGGGGCACCUCUAGCUCAGCACGUCGAGUAGGGCUCUAACUCGCGACGCCCUUGCCUCGAUCCUGGUCCGCGACGGGCAGCAGCCGGAACCUGUGGCUCUGCAAAAACAUAGGUAACAACUGGGCGUGAGAACUACUGUAAAAACAAGUAGUCCUCAGUGGGUACCGCCCAAAACAACAUCGGUCCACCCACUAAGUCUACAGAAGGGAGCAACAGUAGUCAGAAAAGCAGGAAAUAAACUCUACCGCUAUCGAUCACUACACUAUCAUGCUCUACACUAACCAACUGUAGGAAAUAUCAACUCUGACCCAAUCGAAUCGGAACUGUAAGCAUAUCCGUCCCCGGACUGUGAAUACACCGUCCCUGCCCGUUGCGACUAUCGGGCUCUAUCACACUAACUGGUCGUAGAGAGCAAGUCAACUGGCAUGAGCGACACCAACGCGAAAGCAAAAGCUGACUUCCGGAGUAGCAUCGUGGGCGCUACCAACCGAGUAUGCCAGCGUAUCUCUGUCGAGCUCAAACAGGCUCUGAAAAGCCAAAGUCAAGAAAUCGACUCUAACUGGUCUAACAACCAACAAGUAACGUGCCCUCAGUACAAUCUGACGCCAAAAAGGCGAUACGGGUCCACCGUCACUCUGACGGCACCCCACAGUCCGGAACAACCUGAACAACACUGUAAAAAUCCACUCGGCAUACCAGCACGAGCGUAAAUGUCUACUAAACCACCUGGAGUACUCGUCUCGAGGAUACUGCGACAGUACAAUUUAAUAACGGCUCCUAGAACUAAAUCAGGCAGUUUAAUCAAGUGACAUGUCCAAAUCGCAAGUUUUCUCCUAAUUCAAUUUUCAAGUCCAACAUGUAUAACCUAUUCAAUUUAUUACCACAUGCUCCAAAUUCAGAUAUGCAAUCUACCAUUUAAUCCAUGAAUUCGAGUUAGAAUAGAUUAUCCAAAAAUUGAAAACUAUACAUGUCGACGAUUAGAACUAAGGAGUCAAAACCGAUGUAACCCACCUCG